UAGAAUAAUCUCAUUUUUGCUUCUAUAGCCUAGUGGAGUUGUUGAAGCAUAAAAAAAAAAAAGAAGAGAGAGGAAUAAAAGAGGAAAAAGAAAAAAAGGGGAGAGAAAGAAAUAAAAAAUAGAGAUGGUUUAUGAGAUUAUCCAUGCACCAGGUGCAUGGAUAAAAUUUAAAUUUUGAAAAUAUCUCAUGCACCGUGAGCAUAAAUUACGAAAAGUGGGACGUUCUUGUAGAUACGAACGGGUAUUAAAAAUAGCAUAUUAGACCUUUCCCUUUCACGUAUUUACAAAAUGCUCCGCUUUAAUCAUAUAAUAUUUUAUUAUAUUGACUAAGGUGUAAUAUGAGCAAAGGGAAAGGACCAAUUCGCAAUAUUCCCACAAUCCCAUCGCAACCAUCCAUUAUCUCAUAAUCCCAUCAUAACCAUCCAAAAUCUCUCCCACAAUCNUAUGAUUUCUUUUGAAGCUGAGCUUUAGGUCUCUUAAUCUUGAAAAAUGUAUUGCUUUUUAACCGGGUUUGGUGUUGUGUAUGCCUUUAUUAGGAUAGUUGAUCAUCAAGGAAUUUCAGAUGAAAUUGUUAAAUUCUAUGUAGUCUCAGAAUUUAGUUAGGAACUGCAUGCGUUUAUAUCGCAAAAUUAGUCACAUAAUGUUGACUAGAGGCUCUAGAGAUAUUCUUAAAAUUUGACUUUCAAGCUCGAAAACUUGGAAAAGCAUGUGAUGCGUGGAUGGGCAGAGUUUAUGUCACAAGGGGAACUACUUUUGGAGCACUUCAAAAAAAAAAAAAAAGAAGAAAAAACAACUGCAUAAAUAACAAGGUAAAUGGAACUCAUAUUUGGCAGUCCAUUUUCAGCCUAAGAAUACGCAAUAGUUGGCUAGAUUAGAAGUAAAUUUUUUGAAAUGCCAAUGGCAUGCAUUUCUAUGUUUUUUUUUUUGAGAGGAAGGUUGCAUGCUAUCGCUUCAUUCAUUAAGAGCGUGAAUUUAGCAAAGUGUGGGAAGCAACAAGGCUUCCACUAAAAAAAAAAAAAAAAAAAAAAAAAAAAAAAGAAAAGCACCCACCAACAUUCCCCCAAAGAAGUCCUGAGCUCCACCGAGCUCCGCCACAUCCUCUCCCGUCAACGGCAGCCGCGCCCCGAGCUCUACUGAGCUCCUCCAUGUCUCCGCCCGCCUCGUCUUUGUGCGACAUCGACGGCACCCCCACAUGUAGGCGCGACCCACCGAGCGCCCCCGAACUCCGCUUCGUUCUCCCUCAUCGUCGGCGGCCGCGAUGCUCGACUACCGAGCGCCCCCGAGCCUCCAUCAAGCCCCUCUUCGGCAAUCUCUGCGUCGCCAAAGCCGUCGCUCCAUCACCCGAGGCGUCAAGGCCGCCUACGCCGAUGACGCCCGCUCCAAAGCCGCCCGUGUCGCCCCAAGACGACCUCGACCCACGACGUCAAGUUCGUCGGCCCCUGCGCCCGAGGCCAUCGCUCUGAGACCGCCCGCGCCGAAGCCGCCCGCCUUGAGGCUGUCAACCCCGAGGCCACCAUGAUCCUCGCCGAGUUCGGUUGUGCACCACCGCUUCCUCUUCGCAGCCUGUUCCGAGAUCAUGACGCCAUCAUCUCUGGCCACAAAGAGACUCUGAGGCAAAACCACCACGUGUUCAACGAAAUGCCCGAAUGAAGCGGCGACCCCAUGAAGCCGUCGUGGUCCUCGCCGGACGCAGCCGCGUCUUCUGCUCCGGUGCCGACCUCACCGCCACCGAGAAUAUCUUUAAGAGCGACGCCAAAUACCCUGCCAUAGACCCCGCCGUGUCGUGCCCGCCUCCACCGAGCUCGCCGCCCUCAGUCACUCGAAGCCGCUCCGGCCUUAGCCGCUCGAAGGCCCGCUGCCGUCCUCGACUCGAAGCCGUGCCACCCGCGGCCGAUCUGCCUGAAGCCGCGCCACCCGCGGCCGAUAUUUUCGAAGCCGCGCCACCCGCGGUCGAUCCGCCCGAAGCCGCGCCACCCGCGGCCAAUUCGCCGAUGCCUAUGCCGAGCCGCCGCCCAUGACUCUGCUCGUGAUCUCGGCCGAUCCGUCGACACCCGCGCGCCGUCGUCGACUUUGAUGGCUCGAACCCGAGGAGUUCCCUCUGAUGCCGCGUCACUCCACCUCGAAGGCCGCAGCCCCGUCGAUGCCACGUCGCUGUUGUGGCCUUUCACCGCUGCAGAGCGUCGCCGUCACGGCCCUCCUUCGUCGCGGUCUCAGAUCCGUGGCUCCACUGUCAGGUCACAGCCCCAGUGGAGCUCCGUCAUCAACAAAGCCGCCAGCUGCUCGACGGCGAUCCUGAGAGAGAGAGCGGUGCUCUCCUCUCAAACGGAUUCCGCACGCCAAGUGCCUGAUGUGCCCGGAGUCCGCCCACCAACCGCUCGACGGCGAACCUGAGAGAGAGAGCGGUGCUCUCCUCUCAAAUGGGUUCCGCCCGCCAAGUGCUCGAUGUGCCCGGAGUCUGCCCACCAACCGCUCCGACGACGAUCCUGAGAGAGAGAGCGGUGCUCUCCUCUCAAACGGAUUCCGCCCGCCAAGUGCUUGAUGGGUUCCGCCCGCCAAGUGCUCGAUGUGCCCGGAGUCCGCCCACCAACCGCUCCGACGACAAAUCCGAGAGAGAGCGCGGUGCUCUCCUCUCAAACAAAGUUCGCCCGCUAAUUGCUCGGUGGCGAAUCAUAAAGAGAGCGAUGCUCUCAUUUACCGACCAAUCAUUCGACGAAAUUCCUGAAUAAAAUCAGAGAACCCCCCAUCUGUUUGACGAAAUUCCUGAAUGCAACAACGAGGCUAAAGAAGUUGAGUUAUGAGCACCGUGACUUCACGCUCGUCGCCCAGAAGGUCUAUGUCAGCAUCUACAAAGUCGCACACGACUUCUCACCUUCUGAGUAUCGCCGCGGAGAUCAUCCCCGUCAACCAGUAGCCAUCGAGCGNAUUGGACUUUAUCAUAUAUAUUUAAAGUUCAAUUAACUAAAUCAAACUCUAAUUCAUUUAAUUAGAGUUUAAUUUGAAUCGAACCUGGUUAAAUCCCAAUGUAUAUACAUGGAAUUUAACCAACCUUUCACCUUAGGGUGAACAAUAUUGUUAAGCACUGAAACAUAUGAAGCCCAAUUAAAUCAAUUUGAUUAUAUACUUUGAUAUCUUGGUUCAGAAUCAAAUUCAAUCAACCGUCGUACUGAAUUAUGUUAUAAAAUUCAUCUUUUAUUCAAUCACAGCAUUACAAAGGUCUCUUAAUCGAAGGUGCCCUAACACUUUGUAGGGGUAAUUAACAAUAAAUGCUUGCGUUUAUUGGAAGCCAUGAAUCCACAAAACCUGAUUUUCAUACAUAUUCAAAUAUUAAUCUGAAUCAUGAAUACUACCCCACGGUGAAAAAUCAAAAUAAGAUCAACCGUGCGAGGUACGUCAUUCGUGGUGGCAGACAGGAGUAUUUCGCUGAGGUCAGCGGUUGCCUACUGGGAACUAUUGUUAAUAGUUCUCACGCCCCUAUUUUGUGGUUUUUAUUUUAGAGCCAUCCGCACCGGAAGAGGCUAGGGAUCGCGGCAAAGGGGUCACGUCUAGCUAGAUCGCGAGGAUCUUUACUGUUAGGUGGUUAUCUCUCCUUUUGUAUAGUUGGAGAGAGAACCAGUUCUGUACCCGUGUAUAAAGGCCAUCAUUUUUGUAUAUCUCGCACUUGUACUUGAGAUGUUAUGAUGUACCUAUCUGUGGAUCGUUUUAGUUGUUUAGUUCUUUUACUAUUCUUCUUGUCAUUAGAUUCUAGAUGUUGUAUACUCUGAUAUCUCUAGAUACUCGUUAUACUUGUUUUAUUUAUCGCUUUGUUCUAGACGCCUUAUAUGUUGUUGGCAUAUGGCGGGUUUGGACACGCACCGGGCAGGCCUCCGUUGGGUCCCGGGGCAUGACAGCGACGAAGAUGAUGACGGUGGCAUAGAUCUUAACGGCCGGCGGAUUUGAUUCGAUAUUUUCGAAAGAUGUUGAAAGGUCCGAAGAAACGGGGAAUCAAAGAUUCCCCUUCCCUCUUUUUUCGAAAAUAUCAAACCGGCGAUGCUAGAGAUGACGUCGAUGAAGAUGAUGACGGUGGCGCGGAUCUGUUCGGCCGUCGGAUUUGAUUUGACAUUUUUGAAAGAUGUUGAAUGGUCCGAAAAAACUGGGAAUCAAAGAUUCCCCUCCCCUCUUCUUUCGAAAAUAUUGAACCGGCGAUGCUCGAGGUGGUCACGGCAAUAUAGAUCACCCAUUCCAUCAAUUAACGGCUUCGAAUGGGGUAUUGAGAGGUCCGAAGAAACGGGGAGCCAUUGGCUCCCCUCCACACUCCCAUCGAAACCGUCUAGAUGGUAUGGAUGGCUACGGUAGCAAGACCUAAAAAAAAAAGAAAAGGGGAGAAGAAAAGAGAUUUUUUUUUAAUUUUUUUUGGCAUGUUUUAUUAUAUUUUUUUCUCUUUUCUUCUUUCUUUUUUUUUCUUUACCUGUUGAUCAGAUAGCGGAUUGGAUGAGGCGGCUCGGCGAUCUCUCCUCCUUUCCGUGGCUCGGCGAUUUCUCAUCUUUUUAUCAUAAUCUCUCUCUCUAUUGCUAUCGUCUCUCCCUAUGUAUUUGUUCUCUCCUCUUUCUUUUUUUUAUCGUCGUCCGCAUUGAUUUUUAUUCUCAUAUUUAUAAUAAAAGGGGCGGCGAGAGAUAUUUUGAGGAGUCGGUUAGGGAUUCAAAUUUUGAAUCGGUUGUUGGAUGGUUGGAAAAUAUUUUGGGGGUUGGUUGGGAAUUCGAAAUUCGAAAUCGAAUUUUGAAUCGGUUGUUGGAUGGAUAGGUAUUCAAAAUUUGAAUGAAUGUGGUUGGUUGGGAGAUUUUUGGGAGUUGGCUGGGAAUUCGAAAUUCGAAAUCGAAUUUUGAAUCAGUUGUGAUUUGUUAGAAGUUGUUUUGGGAGUUGGUUGGGAAUUCAAAAUCUAAAAUCGAAUUUUGAAUCGGUUGUGAUUUGAAAUAGAAUUUCGAAUGGGGUUAUUAGGAUUAUAGAUAUUUUCUAGAGUAUGGAUAUGGACCGUCAUUGAUCGAGCCCAUUUUAAUGAAAUUUGUUGGGCACAAAUAAUAAUAAUCAAUGGGCUGAAAUGAGACCCGAAUUAUUGUAUAGGCCUAAAAUUUUAAAGGGCUUUAAUGAGGCCCACCAACUCGCAUCCAUGAAUGGGCCUAUUGUGAAUUAUAAUUAUUGGCUCCAAUAUUUUUUUUUUUUCACUUCAAACACUAAGCUAUUACAAGCAUUCACACCACAUGCUUUUUACAUAUUACAUUUUCGUUUUCUUUUCUUCUAAAUACAAUCAAGAUUAUUACAAUAUUGUUUUCCUUUUUUCCUACACCCCUAGCUAGGCUGACUCGGGGUAUUGCUAUCUCUAGUCUCAGUAGUAGGGCGCUAUCUACGGAGGUACGCCCUUUCCACGUGCUGCCGCGCCGCUCGCGUGUGAAUCUGUAAUCUCCAAAACAACGUGGGGUGAGAACUAUUGUCUAUAGUUCCCAGUGGGUACGGCCACCCAAGGGAAGAGCACAACCCACCAGGUCCCAAGGAGGCACUGCAACAUGUUAGUUCAACAGAUAUCCAACAGAUAUAUAUGCAAGUAUUAAAAUACAUAUUAUGCCUCUCAACACGCAACAAUACAAAUCGUGCAACUAUGCAACUCAACAUGCAAUAAGCUAAGUAGAUCGACCGAUUCUACUUUCAAUCCUGCUAUUCAUAGUUCAUCCAAUUGACUUUUAAGUUUUCCUCUAUCUUAAAUUCAUGUCAAUUAUAACUCUGCUCAUAAGGUUUCAUCUACCUUUGAUCCAUAUAAUUUGCUCUUUGCUUUUAAGGUUUCUUCUACCUUAACCAAGCUAGCCACCCGACUCGGCCUCGAGUCAAUCAUCUGCGGAAUACCGCAUAAAACCAGGCUCAAGGUGAAGGACGUCUCACAUGCACCUCAGUCUUAAAUCCACUAAACUGGGAUGCCAACUGGGAUGCAAAUCCACUCUACUGGGAUUCAUCCACGGCUCAUAAUGUAUGUCACUCAAUCUCACUCGCUAACCGUAAGGUUAUGCCCAACUCACAUUUCAAAUCUCAGAGGUGAGGAGACUCUGCGCUACACACACCCGAGAUCGCCUACUGGGUAAUCAAGUUACUCAAACACGACUACUACAGCGGAGCUCACUACUUGGGUGGAGCGACCACGCCAAGGUCAAACAGACUAUAUGAGUAUGAUCCAAUCCUCUCACUCGAGGAUACCCUGUCUAGUAGGGUUAACAACAACACGGAAAAUCCACUAACCCCAAUACUCAUGCCAUAAGUGUCUCUACUACACAAGGUUCACGUGGCACAUAUCCACAACUCGGGAAAUCAUCUAUCCCUAUGUUCAUGUCACAGUGUCUCUACUACACUAGUCCAAAUGCCACUCGAUCUACUUGACAUUCUACUCGUCCACAUCGAGUAUUAUAGUUUUCAUGUUCUUGUUUUCCAAUGUUGAGCUCUCUAAUCAACCUAGAGUUAUCGACUCAAGUUCACAUUUACAUGAAUCUGGCACAUGCUGCAACAUAUCAUCAUGCAUAUUCAUCUAACAUAAUCCACAAUAUAUCAACAUGCAUAUUCCAUCUCAUGCAUGCAUAUAGCCUCUAUGUCAUGCAUUCAUAUAGCAUCUCAUAGUAGGUAACAACAUCAAGCAUAAUACGAUUCCUACAUUCACAUUAUCACGUACAACCUACCAAAUAUACAUACAUGCAUCAAUAGUAACCAUGCAUCAUCAUUAUCAUCUAUGGUAGUUCAAUCAUAACAUUCAUUUCAUGCAACCACAUGUUUUGCAACUAACUACGAUUAUAUGCAUCAAUGAUAAACAACACUCCACUUCGACAUGAAAGUGAGCUAAUAUCUUCGAUGAGCACAACCCACCUCGCAACGCUUUCCGAUUGCUUGUCGACACUUGCAAUUGGGCUCCCGCGGCACACGAUACCCGGUUCGGCUCGAAUUCGCAAUCGGCAACCAAACGCCAGCUAAUCCGCGACCUAGGGUCAUCAAUGGCUCUUCUCUAACCUUCAAUUAGAGAACAAUAGGAUUUAAUUAGAUCAAAACCCUCAUUUACUCCAAAACCCCAAAAUCCUCAUUCUAACCCUAGCAUAUGUAUAGUCCCCAAAUAACCCAAAUUAAAUGGAGAAAAUAUGUUAGAGACACUCUAGAGGCUACUAAAACACUAAGUAUAAAGGAUUUAGCCAAAUCCUAAACACUUACCGAAUUGCGAACGCCGAGUCGAAAGCACGCCGCUCAACCGGGCACACGAAGACCCGAUCCGACGCUCCACACGCGUUUCCAAGCCCACUCUCCGCCAAGCCUCCGAAUUUGGGAGAGUAAGAUAAAGAGAGUAUGGAGAUAUCUAGAGAGAGAAAGGGAAGGUUUCUCUCUCCCUCUCCAUACGCGCGUGUGUGUGUGUGUUGGCUAGGAAGAAGAAGAAAGGGGAGAAGAAACCCCUUUUAUAGUCAACCUCCAUCCCAACAUUAACACAAUUUCAGUUUAGUAGCUCAGAAUCUGUUACUUUUCGCCGGAGCCCUUCUGAAUGUCCGUUUUCUCUCAAAUUUGACAGUCAAGCUCAGUUUAAGUUAAUAAGAAGAACGAUAUCUUAAUUUCUCAGUUUCGACCAUUUUUUGGCCACCGAAACCCCUACCGACUAAAAUCUCUGACAGAUAGAAGUCAGAUUUUAUUUUCCACUUUUCGGGUGUCGGAAUGACAUGAAACUUUAAAUCUAGCAUCAUAAAAAUAAUCCCGACAUAUUUUCAGAUUUUUAUAAUUUUCUAACACUGUGAAUUUUCUGCUAAAAUAUCAGUCCCGUUCUUUACUGAAAAUUUUAAAUUUUCUGUUUCCAUUCAAAUUUCAGCACAAGUCAUUCUGACUUACAUUUUACUUCUUUAAGUCCAAUAAAAAUAGUAUCUUACACUAUUUUUAUUUACACUUACUUUUAUAUUAAGAAUCCGGUACAUUACACUGCACCUGUGGACGUUUAGUGUCACACCCCAAAAAUCCCACAUCGGAUGGGAAUGGGGUUGUCAUUGGGUUUAUAAGAGACUUAGACACUAGUAAUAAUAACUGGGCUUAAGCAUUUUGGGUCGGUGUUUGGGCCCAACGAGUUAUUGUUGCUAGUGGGCUGAGUCGUAACAUUUGAUAUCAGAGCCAAUUACCAGCCGGAAAUAUGUGGCUAGUCUCGGUUGAGCCAGGGUCUGAAAGACAAGAUGAUAGGCUAUGCUAGAAUCUGUAUGACAAUGUGACCGGAUAUACCAGGGUCUGGAUGACAAGACUAGCGAGAUGCAUCUCACGGCUAUACCAGGGUGUGGAUGACAAGACUAGCGAGAUGUAUCUCACAUCGCCUGGUGAUCUUAGGCUGUGUAUGUGAUUUAAUCCCACAUCGGAUAGAAAUGUAGAUGUGAUUGGGUAUAUUAGAGACUUAGACACUACUAAUAAUAACUGGGCUUAAGUAAUUUGGGCCAGUGUUUGGGCCCAACGAGUUAUUGUUGCUAGUGGGCUGGGCCCUAACAUUCAAGUUGUUCAAAAGCCUUCCUUGUCCUACCUCUCAUAGCUUGAAGUUUCAAAUCUCAAAUUUUAAAUUUUAAAAUUCAAAAUUUUAAAUUUUAAUAUUUUAAGAUAAAAUUUAAAUUUUGACAUUUUAGAUUUUAAAACUUACAUUUAAAAAUUUAAAAAUUUAAAAUUUAGAAUUACAAGUUUUAAGUUUCAAAUUACAAAAUUAAAAUUUAAAAUUUAAAAUUUAAUUUUACUUUUAAAUUACAAACUUCAAAAAAAAUUCAAAAUUUAAAUUUUUAAUUUUCCAAUCUGAAUUUAAAAUUUGAGUUUCAAAUUUAAAUUCUAAAUUUAAAAUUUAAAAUUUAAAAUUCAAGAUUGAAAUUUGAAAUUCAAAAUUUAAAAUUUAAAACUUAAUUUAAAACUCAAAUUUUAAAUUUUAAAUUUUAAAUUUUAAAUUUUGAAUGUUCAAAUCUUAAAUUUUAAAUUUUAAAUUUUAAAUUUUAAAUUUUACAUUUUAAAUUGAAAAUUGAAAAUUGAAAAUUUAAGAUUUGAAAAUUCAAAAUUCAAAAUUUAAAAUUUAAAAUUUAAAAUUUGAGUUUUAAAUUAAAAUUUAAAUUUUAGAUUUUGAAUUUCAAAUUUCAAAUCUUAAAUUUCAUAAGAUUUAAAAUUUGAAAUUCAAAUUUUAAAUUGAUAUUGAAAAAUUAAAAAAUUUAAAUUUAAAUUUAAAAAUUAAAAUUUAAAUAUAAAUUCAAAUUUUAAAUUAUUUUAAUAUAAAAUUUAGUAAAAAUAUUAAUAUAGGUAAAUAUCAAAAAAAAAAAUUUUACCAAACAGCAUUAAUAAAUUAUUUCAAAAAAAUUACUUUUAUCUAAAUUCAUCUAAAUUCAGUAAAAUAUUCUACAGCUUUUUAUCGAAAUUAAAAUCAUUAAUUCUUCCAUAUCAAAAUCACUACUACAUAAGUCAGUUUUUCAAAGUUAGGCAAAUAGGCCCUAAGGUUGCUGGACCACAGCGCUGCUGCACAAGACGCGUGCCGCUUUUUCUAGAGUAUUCGCGCACUUCGCCAAUUCUUCUUUCCCAGGGGAAACAGAGAGAAAAAAAAAUCUAUAACCGCCUCUUUUUUUUUUUUUUUUUGCCCUCCAGGUCGGCUGCGCGUGCUGUUUCGGGUCAAUUCGAUCUAGUUAUCGCCGAUUUUAUAGUUUUCUCUUGUGUACGAUGAUUUAUCAAUCAAUUUAUUUAUAAAUGAAAUUUGAGGUGUCGAACUUUUAACGGGGCUUAGGCGGGUAGCGUGCAUCAUAAUCAACAAUUUGCUUCGUACUGGGGUUCAUAUUUACUAUUGACCUUUGGAAGACGUAAGAAUUUGUUUGAUUUUGUUUUAAUUGUUGCCGAUCUACCUUUGGAUUCUCUUUGGCUUCUGAAUUAAGAUUAGGUUUUCUUCCAGAAAACAUAAAUAGCAUAAUAAAAUCGCUUCUUAGCUGCGUUCUUGUAUCUCCGCAGAGAUCUGCACGGGAGAUAUGGAGAGGAGAGGAGGGGGGAGGAAUGAUUUCUUCGGAUUUGGGGAUCCUUUUACUGGGUUUGGUGGCGGGAGGGAUGAUUUAUUUGGGUUUGGGGAUCCAUUUGCUGGAUUUGGGGGUUUUGGGAGACCUGGUACUGGUAGCCUCGUAUCUAGCUUCUUUGGUGGGAGGAAUCCUUUUGAUGACCCCUUCUUUACUCGGCCCUUUGGGUACCUGAUGGGCCCGAGCAUGUUUGACCCGAGGCCGGGCAUCCUCGGAGACACGGGCAAUACCGGAUUCAUUGAGCAAGCUCCGCCUCCAAGUAAACCCAGGGGUCCGGUCAUCAAGGAGCUGAACUCUGAUGAUGAAGAAGAAGAUGAGGAAGAGAAGAUUCACAAGGACAAGAAAGAUAACCCCCGAAAGCAUUCGCGGUCGAGUGAGGAGCCUGAUGUCCAGCACCCUGUUGAAGAAACGGAAGGUGGAUAAUUUUUGCUGAUUUUAAUUCGCCGCAGAAAGAAGCAUCUGACUUCUUCCCAGUAGUUAUUAUUUGGUUCGCUUAUUGGUUUGAAUGGACUACUAACUAUGGUUGACAUUUUAUUAGUCGGUGUUUCUGUUGAUCUUUUCUUUGUAACUUAUCUUGUAAUGGUCGACUGGUUGGUUUACUUGAAUCCAUAUUUGAUCAGCGGAAAUGCUCUGCGGUAAUACUAUAAAGCUAGUAGGUUUUCUUUGUGCCGGUUUGAGUAGAUGGACCAAAUUGGAUUUGGAAAUAUGUUAGAGGGGCACCUUAACCUUAUCGAACGCAGUGUGUAAACUUGCAAAUAGAUGGAACUUAGUUUGUGGUCUACACCUGUAUAUUUCUUAGUGAGCUUUUAGUUCUGUUGCAGUGCUGUUACAAUUAUUACCUAUGUGCAGAGGUUGAUAUUUGACGAUAAACGGCUAUAGGAUAAAUGCUGAACUCCCUCUUUGCUUGUUUUAUCUGCAGAGAAAAGGAGCCGACUUAUGGAGUAUAAGAACGGGUUUCAGAGAGCUAGUACCUCGCGAUCAAAAGCUCAUGCUUAUACUUUCCAGAGCUCAACUGUGACUUAUGGUGGUCGUAAUGCUUCUUAUUAUACUUCAUCCACGACAAGAAGAACUGGUGGUGAUGGAGUAAGUAACUUUGGUGGUCGUUUAUUGCUUUCCUGAUCUGUUGCAACAUGACAGAUUGGUGAUGACCCUACAUAGGCCUAGUUAGGAAUGUUGCAUAGAAUUGUUGCUCUACUAGGUAUUGAGGCCAUUCUUAUACGGAUGUUUUGGACCUUUGUCCAAUAGGAUCACACAUUGAUACAUAAACUUUGUAUUGCGGCACUGCACGAAUUCUUAUGUAGUAGAAAAAGCAACCUGUUCAUUUUUUCCUCCAGAGCGUUCACAUACAACAUGAUUUCGUGCACAUGGGAUCAGAAAUAUUCAUAAUGGAGAAGUUAGUACCAGUGCCUGGUCACACUACAAUAGUCUUUGCAAAGUGGGCUAAGGUUGAGUUGAGAUGAGUUAAGGAUGUGUCAUGAUUUAAUGGUGUCGCUCACAUGUAUAUAUAUAUUUUUUGUUUUAUUAGGUUACUGUCGAAGAAAGUAAGGAGGCAGAUACCACAACUGGCAGGGCCACCCAUAGAAUAUCUCGAGGAAUUCGUGACAAGGUCAUCCAGUGCUACUAAGCUCUCCUUUUCUGUCAUAUUUCUUGUUUGUGUUGCUGCAUAGUUCCUUUGUACACUGAGUGAAAUAUAUUUUAUCCAUCAAUUCAGUGGUGAGGUAGGAUUUCACUAAAUUUAUCAGAUGUUGUUCGCUUUGCAGGGGCAUUCAGUGACAAGGAAACUGAACUCUGAUGGAAGAGUUGACACUAUGCAGACAUUGCACAACCUGAAUGAAGGUUUGAACUCUUAAAAGCUGAAUGAUGUUUGUAUACCUAAAAGAUGUUUGUAUGUCUCCCUUUGGUUUUUCUAUUUUAUGUAUUCAUAUAUUUUUCUUCUUUAGAUGAGCUUGCUGGGUUUGAGGAAGCUUGGAAGGGAAAAGCAAGGCAGCACUUACCUGGUUGGAACCCCAGUUCUACUAGUAAGUUAAUUCAUCAAAUUGACUAAAUUUUGUUGAUUUUUCCUGUUUGCUGGUAGCAUGGUCAAUCUACAACCCGUAUUUUGAGUUCUUGUAGGGCAAAAGUUUCGGAUCAACAAUCACAUUAGGAUCAUAUAAAAUUGCUACCAUUUGCAAAUCAAUCAAUCCAACUUAUAACUCAUUCUCUUAAUGAUUGUCCGAUCUAGGAACAGUGGUUGUAAUAUAUGACUGGUUGAUUCCUUGAUGCAUGCUAAUUAGAAACAAUACUGACCGGAAUCCAGUCAUAAAGAAAUUUAAUUAUUGAAGGAACCUAGCAUUGAAGAGAAGUGUAAUGUAAUGAUGGAACAACUAAAGCUAUAAUUAUCGAGAGCAAAGCAUGUACAGAAGGUCAAAAUUAUGGCUGUGUAAACUUUGCCCAAAACAUUGUUGCCAAAUGCGAGUGUCUCGCUAACUUGGACGCUCGAUCAAGAUAAACCCCACCAGCACCUUACCACCUUUAAGGCUGAGCACUUAUCUUUGCACCUAGCUAAGUGCCUUAGGCCGAGUAGGUGACUAUGGUAUGCUCUUUGUUUGGUGUAUUGGGCUUUACAUUUCUCUCACUUCUAUUUUCUAACUUACAAAUAAGUGCAAGCAUGGGUGGAUGAGAGUGAACAAUUUUAUCAUGUUUAGUUUUUACUCAUUUGUCCUACCUAACUUACCUAGAGUACGUCAAGAAGAGCACAAAGUGAAGCUAACUUAGAGCUUGAUGCCAAAACUUGCUGUGAAAAAGUAAAAAAUUGACUAAUAUUCCAGUUGCUUAACCUUUAUAGCACUAAAAAGUCUAUAUUUCAAGAUAUGUCGGUGUUUUAAUUUGUUUGUAUGUUUUUAACUUUCUUGUGGAAAAAAUGUACAAACCUUGCCUGAUUACCGCAUUACGAAAUGAAAAAAGUUGCUAACUUUUUCCUUGUAAGUUGUUUAAAGUUUCACUGUCGUCUUUGUAUUUUUUAAGUGGACAAGUGACACCUUGAAUUCUGAUAAUUGUUCUAAGCCCUUUGAUAGAUUUUAACAUAUCUAUCAGUAGCCUAUCUGCUCUAAAGGAAGAGGGAACUCCUCAUUUAACUUUGCCUAAGCUAGAAGCCUAUUGAGAAGAAACUUUUCUCUAUUAAUUUAAAUAACCAUGGAAUAUAAAAGAGGAGAGACCUCUUAUCUAUAACUUAUAAGCUUGGGAUCAGCAUAAUAAUCCUAAUAUGAUAAGAAAACCCAAUAUGGAGAGGAUAAAUUAAAACUACUCUCAUGACCCGUUUGGUUGGAUGCAAUUGCAAAUAUAGUAUAGUUGGAAAAUCAUACACCUAAAAAUACAGCAGUUGUAACUACACCAAGUUUGUUUGGUUCUAUACAGUUGCUAGUGCUGUAAUUACAUGUCCUUUGUUUAGUAGUGUAAAGAUAGUAAUUAUAUUUGUGAAUAUUCUCAUCUUUUGCAUAAAGUGGUGAGAUUACUUCCGCUACAAAUAAAAUAAUCAUAUGUUAAUCAUUUAAACUUAAUAUCUAUAAAUAAGUGACUGGAUAUUAAUAUAAUAUAUUUACAUUUUUCAAAAAAUUUUCAACUCUAUAGUUUUGGAUAAAAUGUAUAGACAUCCCCCAAACUUUCCCGCUUUUGCAAAGAGGCCUUUGAACUUCCAAUUUUGGAAAAUAACCCUUUGAGUUUCACUAUACUUUGCAAUCUACCUUAUGCUUGCUUGGCAUCAAAAAAUUAAUGGAGAUGGGAAUAAGCGGUAAUUGCAUGUGCUACUUUUUCCUCCUUUUCAUCUCCAAAUGGGGCUCAAAACUGAUAUAAAAAAUGAAUGGAACAUAUUCUUGAAAAAUACUUGCUCUAACUUCAUAAGGAAUUUAUUGUUCUUAGUCCUCCCAAGAAUAUUUGCUUUGUAAAUAAUAGACCUUUCAUACAUAUGCAUAUAGCAGGGGGAAAAAAAAGAAUUCCUUAUCAAAUAUUUACUUGUUCCAUACAAAGAUAAACAAAAAUUUGAUAUCAUCCAUGGGGCCAUCUCCAAUCCUUCCAUGAAGAAGAAGAUGCUUAUGUUUUAUAUUCUCCAAGGUUUGGUCUAGAAAGCAGAUCACGUGAUUGCCACGCGUGCCCAUCUCCAUUAAUUCUUUGACGCUAUGCGGACAGAACAGUAAAUUGCAAAAUAUAGUGAAGUUCAAGAGGUUUUUUUCCAAAAUUGAAAGUUUAGGGUCUUGUUGCAAAAGCGGGAAAGUUUAGGGGUGUCCAUACAUUUUACCCUAAAAUUUUCAAUCUAUUUAACUUUAAUACAUAAACCAAACUUUUUUUAAAACAUCUACUACUCUUUUCUCUACUUUUUUUUUUUGUGAAAUUGAAAAGCUAUAAUUAAUUAAAAUUUAUUAAAAUAAUGUAUGUAAUCAAACUCUAUCAAAACGUACAAACAAACUAGUUUUUAUAUUUGAAAUGAAACUAUUUUUUUCUAAAAUUUUAAUUUUUUAUGUAAAGCAUACGUUGCACAAGCAUCAUUAUUACUAUUUAUAAAUAUUGAGUAUAUAAAUUUAUUUUUAAAUCUAUACUAGUAUAUAUCUAUUUAUUGUUAAUGAAUUUAUUUACCUAUAUUUAUUUGUUAUUCUUAAUUAGUGGGGGAUCCAAUCUCUUACCAGCUGUUGUAGUUGGAACUGCAACCAACUUAUGUGUAGUUACAACUACAUCAUUUGAGCCUCCUUGUGUAGUUCCAACUGGAACAGUCGGACUCAAUUGCACCAAACUAAACAUAGGAUUUGAGUUUGCAUGCAGCUUGAAAUGCAGUGCAGUUUCAAUUAUGUGCAACCAAAUUGUCCUUUAAUCUGCUAAGAUUUGUUAAAUAAUUCUCUCCUUAUCUACUAAGUAAAUAAUGCUAAUAUACUCGGGAGAGGGCUGCUUAUUUUAGGUAGCUUAGGGUUUGAGAUGAUCGUAGCAUCCUUUUUAUUAUAUUCAGUUUUGAGUGACGUGAUAUCGACAUGGCCAGCAGUAAGCAUCACUAUCACUCAACUCCAGCUGAUGCCAUCAACUUCAGCUUGGCCAUCACAAAAAGGCUAGCAUGUAAGCUGAUGUGUUUGCUAUACUCAAUUUAAGUUGAUGUGGCUGCUAAUGUAAGUUAGCUUGACCCUUACUCACUUCUCACUUUAAUGGAACAUGGAUAAAAUUGAAACUUCAGGAGGACUCAGAAACUGUAGGUGCAAUUUGCCCUUCAGAAAUUGGAUGCUGACCUUGAAAUUCUGGUUUACAAUCUAAACAAAUUUAUUUUGUUUAAAAUUCUGUCAAUUUCUAUUGGAAUUUGAUGGUUUCCAUCAGAAAAGUGAUAAAAUAAUUUGUUGGGUUGCAAACUAUUCCAUAAAAGAAGUUAUGAAUAAUGUUGACUUGUGUUGACUUAUGUCAUGGAAGUACUUAAUCAAAAUUAUUUUACAGUUGAGGCUUCUGUUGUAAAAUGCACAAUAUUUUAGGUUGGUUCUAUAUGACUUUAUCCUUUCCUUAAAUACUGUGCAUUGCUCUACUUGGGCUAACCUCUUUUUAGCGUUUUAUGCCUAGAUAAUAUUAGAAGGUGUCGUCUCAACGACAUCUAUCACCAGGCAAGGGCGCUGCGAGUUAGCUAGAUCUGUUUGAGUGGGUCUAGAGGGUACCUUUUUGUUUGGACAUAAAAUAUGUAACAUUUUGGAGAAAAUAAGUUAUAAACCUUGAUGCAGUUUCACAGUUGUACUGGCUUAAUUUGGAAGUAAUUACUCUGACGCUCUGUUGUACCUAUAUUAUGUAUGCGUUGUAAGGUUUGCGUAUGUUUCCUCUUCGUUCGGGUGGGGGAAUCUCGCUCGUUUGAUGUGUCUGUUGCACGUGGCCGAGCGGGUCCAAUUGGCGGGACUUAGGGCCUGACAGAAUAAGUGAAAAACGACAAGUCGAACUGGAUUCCAAUUCAUGGAAGGGAAGCUUCACAUUUUUUCCAAUGUGACAAGCGAUGCAAUGAGAUAAAUUUAUUUUGGGACUAGUAUAAAUAGAAAUUUUGUUUCCUCUGAUAAACUUAGCUAAAACGUCUUGACUAAGUUGGCGUACCCUCCUAUGUGAGAGAUCAUAACUAGAUCUAGAUGCACCUAAAGCUAACUUUUGUUAUUUCCAACACUUGCAACUGUGGAAGAUAGUGGUUACAAUGAUUCCUUGAACUACGGCACCGGAAGAGCUCUUUCACCUCUUUUUGGUCGUCCAUAGAAAAACGAGAGGAGUCAAAUUCAAAACUUGUCCUUCAAACAAAGACCAGAGGAGCCAAAUUCAAAACUAGAACUGUUGUCAUGAAGAAGAGGCUAGCAGAAAUUAAAUUCCUCUUAAUCUAGGGAACAACAAGAAAUUCUCAAGAUCAAGAGAUUUGGAUGUUGUUUUUAAAGUUGUUUCACUAGUUACUAGUUUGAGUGAUAGAGACUGCAUUUUCAUUCCCACCAGAAUCUUGUCAUGACCACUGUAUGGUUUUAGAGGAUGAAACAGUACCUGGGUCGGCAUGAUUAGAGUUUCCAUUAUCAGUAUCAUUUAACUAAACCUCCUCACCUGGCUUAGGUGCCUCCAUAGCAGAAAAUGUCUGAGAAAGAUCAUUUGAAACAAAAGUAUGGUUCAAUUUUUGUCUGCACUGAAGAGCAGAGAUUGGAAACUUUGACAUUGAAUGCUGAUCGGGCUUGAGACUGUGACCGGGGAUUGUUAGGUUGAUGAGGGUAAGAAUGAGAACAAGGUUGUGGCUAUGGGUAAUUGGAUGGUUGAAUUGUUCAUGUUCCAUAGAGUUUACGGUCUGAAUAAGGAUUGCAACCUCCCCGCUAUCAUUGGCCUACUUGGAAUCUACUUCCGCGUCCUCCACAAAUUCCUCGGCCUUGGUUGGCACAAAUUGCUCCAGUUUCCAUAGAAAGUGGGGUCAGUGGUAUCGCUUGACUCGCUCUACGCGGCACCUUAGUCUCUUCUUGCAUUAGAAGUGGACGAAGUUGUUCAAAAGUAGGCUUUGCUUUGUGUUAGUGUGCUCACAAAAUUUCUAUAUUCCUCGGGCAUCCCAACUAGAACAAUCAUAACAAGGUUAUGGUCUGAUUCUCCUUCCCCAAUCGCCUGAAGUGCAUCACCAAUUGACUUCACCUUUCGCAUGUGCUCAGACAUGAUCAUUGUUUUUUUUUAAUGCUUCUCAAUUCUAACUUGAGAGAAAAAGCAGUGGAUGCAGUUUUGUCCAAAAAAUAUGCUUCAAUAAAUUUUCAUUCAUCAUGAGCGGUUAUGGGUAGAGAUCAGCAUCUGAAGAAUACUGAGCGACAGUGUAGCAUUGAUCCAAGUCAAUAUGGUGGUGUCUUCUUUGUUCCAGAUAGUGUCUUCUAAAUUGACAACCAACCUCUUAUUAGAAGACUCAAUGAAUUGAGGAGGAAUUAUAACUGUCCCAUCUACAAAGGAUGCCACUCCAAAGCUUUCUAAAGCAUUCAAAAGAACUUGUUUCCAAACCAAAUUAGUGAUGUCUGCAAAUUUUACUAGUACGAUUGUUUUGCUGUUGAUAAUGGAGAGAGAGAGAUGUUUGCCGCCAUGACUCACCAAAUAACAGGAUUGUAGGAUGUAGGGAGAAUAGCAGCAGUCAACAAGCCUUAGUAAGAGAGAGAAAGAACCAGCAGAAGAGAAAAAUCACCCAUAGGGCAGAAGGUACUGUAGCUGCAGUUCUGCAUGCACUACUGUAGCAAUAGUAUUGUAGCUGCACUACUAUAGCGACAUUAGAGUAGCAACGCUACAACAACAGCAGCAGGGCAGCUUGGAAUUCGGAGGAGGAAGAAAGGAUCUAUUGACGCUAUCCAAAAAUUUAUGGCGAGAGCCAGAUCACUUAUUCCUAGAGUUUUGGGGUUUGGCUAUGGUACCAUGCAAAGGAAGUGAAAAGACCCACCGUCUAGGAUUUCUAUUGGAAUAUAUAUAGAGUCUGGUAACUAUAAUCUUAUGAGUACGAUCGACUUCGUAUUCAUAAGUUGUUUUCGAUGAUAGAACUUCCAAAUCAACGGUCCAUACUGUUAAACAUAAUUUAGAGUAUUUGAAACUUUUAGAAAUCAAAUUUCAUUAUUUUCGACGUCAUUUACCUUUCGAUUAAAAGAUCUCAAAAUUGAUAACUUUUAGUGACCGGUAUGGGAUAGUUGCAAGUUUAACGGUGUAAAAGACUUGGAAUUGGUUGAAUUUUUGAUAGAUAAUUCUAUUCACUAUUUAGAUAAAAAUCAAUAACUCCAAUCCUAAAUUGAAGGAUCAGAUCAUCCAUUUUUAGGAUGUGGUUCAAUUUCGACCGUUCAUUUUAUACCCAUUUGAUGGACUUUAUUAUAAUUUUAAAAAAUUAUGAAAUUUAUUUUUUAUAAGUUUCAAAUGCUCUAACAUCAUAUUUAACGAUGUGGAUUAUCAAUUCGGAAGCUCCAUCAUUAAAAACAACUUAUGUGUUAUGUUGUGAUACCUUCCUUAUGCAAUCUUGAUUGAUAUCUGUUUCUGGUUGGAACCACUUGCAUUGUUUGGAUUGCGACGCCUAGAACGUACAGGGGAGACUCUGUCCGCGUACAGGGGAAACCCCGGUCCGUUCGGCGGUUUGUCGUCGGCGCUGCGACCCGGUCCAAAUUGGCGGUUGGUCGCGGGGCGUGACAUUAUAAGUACAAAGAGCUUUAUACGUAUAAGAGUAUAGUAGCCCUACUCUCUCUCUCUCUCUCUCUCUAUAUAUAUAUAUAUAUAUAUAUAUACACAUAUACAGAUAUAUACAUAUACAUAUAUAUAUAUAUAUAUAUACAUAUACAUAUAUAUACAUAGAGCAAGGCUGCUCAGGGCCACGGAGGCGUUUUCGAUGAUGGAAUUUUCGAAUCGACGAUCGGCUCCGUUAGACUUGAUCUAGCAUAUUUGAAGUUUCUAGAAAAUAAUUUUUGCAAUUUUUUGAUAUCAUUUACCUUGUGAUCGAAAGGAUUCAAAAUCAAUAAUUUUUAAUGGUUGAUAUCUGCCGUUUUCAAGUUUAACGGUGUAGAAGUAUUCAAAUUAGAUGAAAUUUUGAUACAAAAUUCUUUAUACUAUCUACAGCAAGAUCAAUAUUUCUGAUCGAAAAUUUUAGUGAUAUAUCACCACUAUUUAUAGGAUUUUUAUUUUCAACCGUUAAAAAUUAUUGAUUUUGAAUCCUUUCGAUUGUUAGGUAAAUGAUAUUGAAAAAUCGCAAAAAUUAUUUUCUAAAAACUUCAAAUACGCUAGAUUAAGUUUAACGGAGCCGAUUGUCGAUUCAGAAAUUCCAUCAUCGAAAACGGCUCAGGAGCACGGAGGCCUCCGUGCUCCUGAGAGCACAGCAGUCCUGCUCUAUAUACAUAUACAUAUAUAUAUAUACAUAUACAUAUAUAUACAUAUACAUAUACAUAUACAUAUAUAUACAUAUACAUAUACAUACAUAUACAUAUACAUAUACAUACAUAUACAUAUACAUAUACAUAUACAUAUACAUACAUAUACAUAUACAUACAGAUACAUAUACAUAUAUAUAUAUAUAUACAAGAUGCAUAUAAUCAUGUGCUAGUCAUGUAAUGACUAGAGACUAAUAUAUGUUACACCCACCCUAAUAAUAAGUACAAAUGCUUACAUUCUACUUGCGUGCUUGAAAAUGGCUUCAAAUUUCAAACGAGAAGUGAAAUAUAUUAUCCAACUAUCUUUGAUGGCUAGCAAUCUAUAUUGGCGAUACAUGUUUUUGGAGUUGUAAAGUAGUUGGACUAAAUUGCUAUAAGGAAAACUGCAUUCUACAAUAGGUUAUAGGUAUGGUAACAAGAACUAAGUCAAACAAAUGAAGUGACUUGAUGCUAAUUUUUACUAUUGUACUUACCAUUCUAUAAAAUUUUAGCUGUAAUUGUCACACUUAAAUGCUGGUUAUUUUGAUCUAUUUUAUUUUCUAGCUUUUUAUCAAUUCUACGGAGCCCUGCUAUUCACGAUAUGAUUUAUGUUCCGUUAUUACUGGGCACAUUUACUUAGGUGGCUAUUGGAUUUUGAUCUGGCCAACAUUGUAUGCUGGAUUUGUAAAUUUUACCGUGGUUUUCGUUAGCUGUGGGAGUUGAUGGUCUGCUUUACCCCACUAAACCACCCUCCUCACCCAUAAAAGAGAAGGAAAGAAAAAUCUGGAAAGAAGACGAACAAAUUAGUUUCAGGUGUUGUACAGUAUAGCGUGUAUACCUUGAUUGCAAUCUUGCGGAAGUCUCAGGUUUUCUUGCACUUUGUUUAAUUGAAGCUGUCUAUGAUUGCACGCGUCUAUGAUUGCAAGGGCUCCCAAAAUCGAUAGUUUUCGACAGCCUAUAUGAGCUAGUUGCUCGUUUAAUGGUGUAGAAAAUGCCAAAUUGCUUGAAGUUUUGAUAGAUUUUUUUAUUAUUUUUUUUUAAUAACUAUCUAGAAGCCAUUUGGAAACUCUAAUGUUCAAUUGAGAAAGUGUAACCUAUAUUUUCACAAGGUUAAUUGUUUUCAGCCGUCCAUGGUACGACUCUUUGAUGGACUUUUAUGAUUUCUAAGAAUCAAAACUUCUGUUCCUAAAUAUUUCAAAUACUCUAGUUCAACAAAUUUGGAGCCCGAAUUAGCAAAAACGAUUUGAUAGGAUGGAUGCUUCGGUCCUCUUAGAGGAUAAUAGCUGGACUGCAUUCUAGUCAUUGAUGAGUUCUUGCCUUCUUAUAAACCAUCCAAAACCAGUAUAUAUGCUAUUGUAUUGGAGGUUUAUAGGUUUUCCUUGUUUUAAAAAUUAUCUCAAAUGAUCUGCUCAUCUUUCUGCUGCAUGUGGGGGUUCAUCGACCGGAUUCCCUCCAGAAAUCUUUGUCAAAUCCUUUACUGCUAAUAGCUGAGAUUGGUGGUCCUCGUGAUCUAUGUUGCUUGGAAGCCUAUAUCGUUUGUUCUUAAUUGCUUACUGUUUGUGAGAAAGGCAAAUUAUACUGACAGUACCUAACACAGUUGGCUAAAGGCUUGAUGGUUGGUAUUUGAGAUCCCAAGUUUGAAGCCUAGUUGCUUCACAUUUCUAACCGAGUUCCUUCCAAAAAAAUGAUCCAAGCAGGUAGCUUUGCUACCUUUCUCUUUCUCUCUCUGGAAAAAAAGGGAAAUUCUGGAAUAUAUUGAAUAAAUUUAUCUUAUAACUGCCAUUCUAAUUAGAAUUCCUGGCUUGUGGGACUCUUCCAUCUGGUUUUCCCUGCCUUGGAUGUUUUCUCGAGAAAUUAGCUUGCCUUUCUGCUGCCAUAUGGUACUAAUUAUCAGGACUCCUUUGUCCAGAAGUCUCUGUCAAAACAUCCUUUGCUGCUAUAAACUGAGUUGUGGUCCUUGAUCUAUGUUGUUUUGGAGCCUCUCUAGUUUGUUCUUAAUUUGUGUAUUAUAUGUAUGAAAGGAAAACUCUUGAUUCUAUUGAGUUCAUUCAUCUCUUAACUGCCAUUUGAUUUAGAGUUCCUUUCUCUUGGGGCGCUUUGCUCUGGUUUCUCGAUCUGUGGUUGUUUGGUGAUUUUAACGACCAAGUCAUUAGUCAUGAUGAGGCAAAAUUCUACAUGCUGCAGUUAAAGAUGGUGCAAUGUUGAUUAGAUCGAAGAAAAAUACAGUCUAAUUUUGUACGUAUAUUUAAUUCUUAUUGCAAGUUACUAAAAUGCGGAGGCUUAUUUAGGUUUGAUUAUUUAUUUUUAAGUUUGAUAACUCUAAUUUCUUCAGGUGGGUCUAAUUGUAUUCAGACUGACUCUCAACUUGAAGAAUUAGGAAUGAAAUCGAGCCCAAUUGACUCGGUUUUGAUGAAAUUCUUCAAUCAAUUUCUUGUGUCCCCCGAUUGUUGCUAAUCGACCAAUGUUGGCCAUUUGGGUUUAUUUUGGUAACAACAAAGAUGAUCCCGUCAGUUUUGACUUUUGAUAGAAAACAGAACAGGAAGGUAAUAUUUCCCCUAUUGAAAUGCCUCCUGUAGGUUCCUACUGUUUAAAAUCCCUCUUGACAUGAAAAGAAGUCCCGCUGCACUGACAGUCCUAUAACCAGCCAUACUCUUUUCUGCAUUUGCACUCCUAUGACACUUUUUCUUAGUGCUCAUUUUUAAGGGGCUUUAACUGAUAGUUUUGAAACUCUUUAAUCAAGUAAUGAUUUAUAAACAUUCCCUGAGAGGUCGACUUGAAUCCGAAGGGCCCUCUUUUCUAGUUUCCUACAGCCAACCUCUCGAUUUUCUUUAGUGCUCACUACUGAAUUUAUGUAGAACGGUGAUUGUUUCACCAUUGAAAGUGAAUUUCUGCCACUGAAUGUUCCAUUGGACUACUUUUGAGUGUCUAUCGACCAGGUAAAGGUGUCUAUCCACCCAUCCAAGUUAAUAGUGUUUAAUUAUUCUCAAGUUAUGUUUGAUCCCCUCUAAUCCUUACACUUUUAUAUCACGUCAUUAGAGAAAGUUGAGAGACUUAAUAAGAUUGGACUACUGUUGUGUUUGAAAACUCUGUUUGUUUGGAGUCACUUCUUCCUGCUCUGUAAAAGUUAGAAGCCUGAGCCAUGUUGUUAUAGGUUCAAAUUUUGUGAGCACCUGCUCGGGGCAAAAAUGCUUUUGAGGUUGGGACUGUACGCGAGACUUCCUCUUAUUUUUCUUUGGCAGGGGGAUUAUAAUGCCCUCGAAAUAACUUCGCUGAUUUUGGUUUGAACAUUUAUGAUAAUACCUUCAUAAGAGAUGAACAUUCGCGCUAUUCAUAAAAUAUUUCCCGUCUGUUGAAUUCAAUUAACGACGACUGGCGCUCCUGGCCUAUACUCCUUGCAUCUACUGUUAAUUAAUUACUCAAGUGAGUUGCUUUGCUAGUGAGACGUACUCAGUGUUUGCAGGCAUCCGAGUGGCAAGAUAUUCCUUCCAUUUUGUGGUUUUCUUUGGUAAUUAUUGUUGCGCAUACUCACGUAGUGGAACCUAGUAUUUUGUUGUCCAAGUGCCAAAAUAUUGAUGCUUGACUUGCUGUCUGAUGUCAUACUCUUUAAGUUUCGAAGAGCAUAAGUUAUGUCAUGAAAUAUAUAUACAUGUCUUGACAUGAUACUAUUGCGAGAACUCUGCAUUCACUGUUCUCUCAUGGACUCUUUUAAUGGUUCAGAAAUUAUUACCUUAUUCAUUAAUUGCAUGUUGCCUUUAUGAUUUUCUAUAAAAUUUCUUAUGGAAUCAUUGUAGGAGAUGCAAGCAGCAGCAACAGCAGCAGCAGGGGAUGGGCACUUCCAGGAACUGAGCGAGCCCAUGACUCGGCUCACAUGAAGUCACGGCCUCCAGCUGAUUCUUUCAAGCGACGAGCCUGAUGAAUAAAGAUAGGCUCAACUUACUAAUGACACCUUUGUGAUGUGUCAUUCUUUCCGAUCACGCCACUUUACAGAAGUACAUAGUUGUCCUUUUGGGAUCUUGUGUAGUCACUUCGCGUAGCUCAAAGGGUUUUAAACUUCGGAGCUUUCUUUACUGUCGCAUCCUUCUAAAUAUACUCAAGAAGUUGAAGCCCGGUGGCCCUUGUGGCAGAACUGUUUCCGGACGGCUAUGACUCUAGUAUGAGUAUGAUGUGUGCUAUUGAUAAUAAUCACUCCUGAUAAUUCGUCAUAUAGCUGAUCACUUGUUUCUUGAAAAGAUUGUUAGCUUUGUUUUGUUGAAGACUUCGUUUUUUUCAGUAUUAACAGCCGGGUAGUCAUUUUUGUAUUUCGAGCAAAGUGCUUGGAUGCCUCGCAAUUCACAAUUUUCAGAUGUUUGAGUUGGACCUGUCUGGUGAGUUAUCUUUUUGAUGUGGUCUGAACCGUUGCUUCAGCCAAAUUUGGCAAUAAAAAGUAGGGUGAAUUUCAGUUUCGCGAGAUAUUUAGGUUACCAGACAGCAAAUGAUAUUCGAGGGGUUUUCCGGACUGUUCUUUCUUUAGUUUUCAAACUAACAAAUACUGGAGGGAUGAACAAUUUGCUGGGGCCGAACGACUUACUAUAUCUAAGCAAGUUGCAGAUUACACGCAACAAUUUGGUGAGAUCUUUUAUAAUGAAAUUUUUGGUAGCUGCUUUGAUUUUACUUUUGUGUUAGUUGUCUUUGUCGUUACUGGGGGUUGAGCUACGGGAGCAUGAAUCCUCAAGUGGAAUCAUUUUUGGAGUGUUUGGAUUAAUGUAAAGGCCCGUUUAGUUUCUCCAUUUACAAUAUAUUUUGAUAAUUCUCCAUAUUUUUAAUUGAAAUUAUUUAAAUUAUUAUUAUUCAAUUCAAGUUGGAUUCUUGUAGGAAGUGUUACUAAAGUGGUGGAAUCAGUGAAGAUUUCUUUGCAGUAGAAAUAUUAGAUUUUUAUAACUUAUAAGCUAUUCUCAUUUUCAUACUAUAGGUGUAAAUAUUCGAAAAUAAAGGUUAGUUAUAAAAUAAUAUAAAAAGUGUCGACGAGUUAGAUCAAUCCUAAACACGAAAAUCUUGCUCUUUUCAAGGAUAUUCAAGUUCUCAGCGGUUGGUAAAGUUUUUGAACCGAUACAGCAGAAUACUAACUUGUCCGCUUUAGGAUACAACGGCUCGAUUCUCGUUGUGUGGCUUCACCAACUUUGUAUAAGUGAAUGAGCUCAAAGUUUCACCAAAAAAAUAUUUUUUUUUGCUCCUUUCUCUCUCACAAGUAGAAUAUAAAUAACUUGUUUUUCGUUGUCUUUAAGAAUGGAAAGCACACUAUAUAUUGGCUUCACGAUCCUAUUGUAAGGAAAAUUUUAAAAUAAUAUAUUUUGUUUAUUGUUUUUAGUGAAUGGAUGUGAUUCUUCGUGAAAGGAUGCAAUCCUUAGUGAAUGGAUGCAACUCUUAGUGAAUGGGUGCAACCCUUAGUGAGUGGAUGCAACUCUAAUCAAAGGGUAUGACUCUUAAAGUGAAAGGAUGUGACUUUUAGUGAAAGAAUAUGAUAUGAAAAGACACAUCUUUAUAGUNUUGGAAGUCCUCGGUUUGCGUGAACGAGCCACUUGAUCGCUCAAAUCACAUAAAAUGAUAGGAUUUUAUAUAAUUUGAGGAGCUUUUAUGCUUUUGUACACCUUGUGGCUACUGUGGGCAGUGCAUGUGUGUGUGUGGUGACCUCUAGACUGAUUGUCCAUGAUCCCUUAGCCUUUGCGAAAAUCGAGGAGUCGAUUUUGGUGCGUUUUGCGGCGAAAUUCGCCGAAAGAACGCGGUUUCAGUUCGGAUUUCUUCCGACGUCGUUUGGUUGCUCUGUAAGUAGCCGCUAAGCCUUGUUGGCUGGUCACCAUCAUCACCGUGGGGGUUCGGUGAUGACGGGUGAGCGAUUGUGGGUUCUGAUGUCGAAAUAGACACUUUCGGAACUUCCAGCGAGUUAUGACAAUCGGUACUGGAAAACCGAUCUCCGUGGGUUUGUUUGUUGGUUGUGGAUACUGUGGUUAUUAGUUGUGGGUUAGAUACUAACCCGGUGGACCCUCUAUAGGUCCGGUUGACAUUCUUUUGCAGUCAGGAGAUAGACGCGACAUCCUUACAGGUGGGUACUUCGAUCCGACGUUGGUACAGUGGUGCACGCUUGGUGAUGGUUUCUUACCCUUGCUCUUUUGUUAUUAUCCAUGCAUAUGUUAUAUGUUGAGCUUCGCACCUCUAUUGUUUACAUUACACCCACGUUGUUUGAUUAUACUCUACUCAGACGUUUCCAUGCUUAGUAUCAUGCGUAGGAGUAUAGUCUAUCUGUAUGUGAUACCAUAUUUCCUUGUUGCUCUACUUAGCUAUUCUGCAUAUCCUGUUUCAUGUUUAGAGUAGAGCGAUUUCGUGAUUUCUUGUGAGAUCGGUGACCUAGUCGGUCGGUUCCUUGAUGUCUGUCGUUUGAUGACCUUUGAGGUCGGUGUACCCUGAGGGGUCGGAUUGUCGGCUAGUGGCCGACGGUAGUUCUAGAUUAUAUACUCAGAUGACUUGUUGAUCGAUUCUUGCUUAUAUACAGUAGUUGACCUAAUGAUCAGUAUCUACAUACUUUUGGUAGGAUGUUGAGUUGUUCCAUCCCAGUUGAUUUGAUUAGUCAGUACUUGCAUACAGUUGAGAGGAUGUAGAGUCGUUCCAUCCUAGUUGACCUGAGUGGUCAGUCCUUGUGGUUCAUUGAGCAGUAUUUGCAUAUGUUUGAGAGGAUGUCGAUGUUGUCCCAUCCUAGUUGACCUGAGUGGUCGGUUCUUGUGCUUCUUUACAGUUGACGACCUAUGCGGUCGAUGGGCCCUGGGGGGCAGGAUUGUCGGCUGGUUGCCGACGGUUGAUCAUUGAGCAUAUUGCAUUGAUCGCCCGAUACUCGUCGCAUUUCACGAACACUGGCGGUCUGAUCCACCGCAAGGAGUGUUCUUUUCCGGAAAAGUGGUUGAAUGGUGACAACCCGUGAGCCCUAGAGGGGUUAUAUGCACUGGAGAGUAGUAGUGGCACUGGCUUGAGGUCUGCGGUGCUGACCAAGAGAGCAUUGGUUUCAGAUUGGGUACUUUUGGACUUCUUGACCGGUUGACGCAUAUGUCUAUAGUAGCAGUCGUUGCAUGCAUACUUACAGUUCUUACUUUAUAGUUGUCUUGCUGCUAUAGUAGAUAUUCAUGUAUGCUUUCGGUUCCAGUUACAGUAGCGGUAGCCGUUAUUCAGUCUAGUUCUUACUUUCUUUCAGUUUAUUGCUACUGUAUUCGGUAUAUCUGCUCUUUACCUUACUAUUGUUGCUACUAUAUUUCCACUGACCCUUGUUGUUAUUUAGCUCUUCCUGAUCCGGUGAGUACUCCUCGCCUUCAUCGGCUUGCGGUACCCACUGGGAGGGGAGACAUGUUUACAUGUUCUCACCUCCCCCACUAUUUUUCAGGUAUCGCGGGCGGUGAGGGUUGAGACGAGACGUGAGAUAUGUACGUAGCGGUCGAUAGAGCUUCCGACCCAGGUUAUUGGUCUAGUUCCUAGCCUUACUAUUCUAUUGACAUAGUUUAGAUAGUUUACCUGGUUCAGUAUUUUUAUUACAUUUGAAUAUGUGGAUUUUCAUGAAUGUAAUAAAAGGUUUUCUACCCCUCGUGGUAGCGUUUUUAAAGAAUAAAGAUUUUCGUGUAGGAAACAGUUUUCAAAAAAAUUUUCUCAUGGAUUUCUGUUUAAACAUUGAAUGUAAAACUGUAAUGUGAAUGGUGAAUGAAUGAUUGCAUAGUCGUUUACAUAUUCAUUUGGUUGUGGUUGUACCUGGGUUACUUCUUGUACUUGUGCGACGCCGUGCAAAUAUAGGGGAGACUCUGUCCGUGUGAACAGUGAAUUCCAUGUAUUUGUGGCGGAUCUGGCAUUCCCUGGGGUUAGGUUUUCAAAAAAAAAAAAAAAUUUCCGCAGUGUUUUUAACCUAAAGGGACCCGGGGCGUGACAGCUUAAAUCCGAAAAUGUCGACUGCUACUCUACAAGAGAUGGCAACAAACUUUAUGAGACUAGAAAGAUUUGAUGGCAUGAACUUCAGGCGUUAGCAGAAGAAAUCAUUUUUCCUUCUGUCGACUCUCAAAGUUGCUUAUGUCCUCACUACUCCAAGACCAGAAGAAAACGAUGAUGAACCUAUUGCACAAACUCGUACAAGACAAAAAUGGGAUGAAGAUGACAAUAUAUGCCGAGGCAACAUUCUAUAUGCUAUGUCGGAUGCGCUUUUCGAUGUCUAUCAAAAUGUGAAAACGACUAAAGAACUGUGGGAAGGCCUUGAAGAAAAAUACAAAUCCGAGGAUGCCACAAGUAAGAAGUUUCUUGUUAGCAAAUUUAAUAACUAUAAAAUGGUUGAUAGUAGAUCUGUUCUAGAUCAAUUACAUGAAAUUCAACAUAUUCUCAAUCAAUUUACUCAACAUAAUAUGAAUAUGGAUGAAUCUAUAAUUGUGGCCUCUAUAAUCGAUAAACUUCCUCCAUCAUAGAAAGACUUUAAGAAAAGUCUUAAACAUAGAAAGGAAGAGAUUACUCUUAAAGAUUUGGCUAACCAUCUUCGCAUAGAAGAAGAAUAUCGUUUGCAAGAUAGCAAAAAGGAGCAAGAUGCUCAGAGUGCCAAAGUGUAUGUGACGGAAGAUGAGUAUAAUAAAACCUAUCAACUCACAAAAGAAAAUCGAAAGAGAGCCAAACAUCCGAUCAACCACAACAUGACAAAUACGAAAAAGAAAGGUGCAUGCUUUCAUUGUGGUAAACCAAGCCACUACAAGAAAGAAUGUCGGUUACUCAAAAAGGAAAGUGCACCGGAUUCCAAAAGAAAUUUUGUGGCUAUGAUAUCCGAGGCUAAUAUACUCGAAGAUGACGGAGCUUGGUGGAUUGAUUCGGGUUCCACAAGGCAUGUGUGCAAGGAUAAAAGUUUAUUCAAAACUUAUGAUGCAUUGGAGGAUGGAAACGUUCUCUAUAUGGGCAAUUCUUCAACAGCACAAAUCAAAGGAAAGGGCAAGGUGGAACUCGAGUUCACAUCAGGAAAAACUCUCACUCUCACCGAUGUGUAUCAUGUAUCCGAAGUUAGGAAGAAUCUUAUUUCAGGAAGUCUUCUUAACAAAUUUGGGUUCAAACUUGUAUUUGAGGCCGACAAAUUUAUUUUGUCGAAGGGUGGAAUCUUUGUGGGAAAAGGAUAUUUGUAUGAGGGCAUGUUCAAACUCAAUCUUAUUAAUAAAAUAAAUAUUUCAGCCUAUAUUAUUGACUCUUCUUCUUUAUGGCAUAAUCGUUUAGGACAUGUUAAUUAUAGAAAAUUACAAGAUAUGGCUAAGUUAGAGUUAAUUCCUAAUUUUGAUAAUAAAUUAGAAAAAUAUAAUACUUGCAUGCUCACUAAAAUUACUAGAAAGUCUUUUCCUAAAAUUGAUAGGUGUUCUAGUCUACUUGAAUUGGUACAUAGUGAUGUUUGUGACUUGCAUGCUUCUUCUUCUAUUGGUGGAAAGAAAUAUUUUGUUACAUUUAUUGAUGAUUUUUCUAGAUAUAGUUAUGUUUAUCUUUUGUCAUUCCAAAAACGAAGCGCUAGAUAAAUUUAGAAUUUACAAAUUUGAAGUUGAGGUGAAAUGUGAGAAAAUGGUCAAAUGCCUAAGACCAGACAGAGGAGGAGAAUAUUAUGAUCCUUCAUUUUUUGAGUCCAUUGGUAUUAUACAUGAAACCUCUGCACCUUAUACUCCACAACAAAACGGAGUUGCAGAAAGAAAAAAUAGAACAUUAAUGGAAAUGGUCAAUGCUAUGCUUUCUAACUCUGGGUUAAGUUAUGGAUUUUGGGGCGAAGCUUUAUUAACAGCUUGCCAUCUACUAAAUAGAAUCCCAACAAAAAAGAAUGAUAAAACUCCUUAUGAAUUAUUCAAGGGAAGAAAGCCCAAUUUAAAUUAUUUAAAAGUUUGGGGUUGUAGAGCUAUUGUGAGGGUUCCAGAACCGAAAAGAAAGAAACUGGGUGAAAGAGGAAUUGAGUGCAUAUUUAUUGGGUAUGCACAACAUAGUAAAGCAUACAGAUUUUACGUGAUUGAAUCUAAUGACUUCAUUGAGAUCAACACAGUUUUUGAAUCUAAAGAUGCUAUAUUUGAUGAAAACAGAUUUGUAUCAAUUCCUAGACCCAAAGAACUUAUUGUGAGUAAAGAACACUCCAAUGAGAAAAAUGAUGUUGCAAUUGAAACCCCAGAACUUAGAAGGAGUAAAAGAGUUAGAAUUGCUAAAACAUUUGGACCAGAUUUUUAUACUUUUCUUGUUGAGGGUAGUAGAGAAAUGAUUACAGAAAGUUUCCAAUUUUGUUUAAACAUUGACUCAGACCCCACAACAUUUGAGGAGGCAAUGAAAUCUCCUGAUGUCGCUUUUUGGAAAGAAGCGAUAAAUGAUGAAAUGGACUCAAUUAUGACAAACCAAACAUGGAAAUUAGUUGAUCUUCCUCCUGGAUGUAAACCUAUUGGGUGUAAAUGGAUUUUCAAAAAGAAAAUCAAUGUAAAUGGCACCAUAGAUAAAUUCAAGGCAAGACUUGUUGCCAAAGGGUUUACACAAAAAGAAGGCAUUGAUUAUUUUGAUACCUAUGCACCUGUUGCCAGAUUAGCGACUAUUAGAACUUUGAUUGCUCUUGCUUCAAUGUAUAAUUUGAUUAUUCAUCAAAUGGAUGUCAAAACAGCAUUCUUAAAUGGAGAAUUAGAUGAAGAAGUUUAUAUGGAACAGCCCGAGGGCUUUGUUGUUCCUGGACAAGAGCACAAAGUGUGUAAACUUAUCAAGUCGUUGUAUGGGCUUAAACAAGCACCUAAACAAUGGCAUCAAAAGUUUGAUCAGAUUGUUCUUUCCAAUGGUUAUAAAAUUAAUCAAUCUGAUAAAUGUGUUUAUAGUAAAUUUUCAAAUGGUAAAGGUGUUAUUAUAUGUCUAUAUGUUGAUGACAUGUUAAUUUUUGGCACCGAUGUUCAGCAAGUAGAAAAUACUAAAAAUUUUUUAUCUUGCAAUUUUGAUAUGAAAGAUAUGGGGGAGGCUGAUAUUAUUUUGGGAAUUAAAAUUAUUCGUGAAAAUAAUGGAUUAUUUUUAACACAGUCUCAUUAUAUCGAAAAGAUUCUUAGAAAAUUUGGUUAUUUUGAUUGUACUCCAGUAUCAACUCCUUUUGAUCCUAAUCUAAAACUAGUUCGUAAUACUGGUAGAUCAAUUAAUCAGUUAGAAUAUUCUAAGAUUAUUGGAAGUUUGAUGUAUGCCAUGUCUUGUACUAGGCCUGAUAUUGCAUUUGCUGUUGGUAAAUUAAGUAGAUUUACUAGCAAUCCAGGUAAUGUACAUUGGCAUGCUAUUUACAGAAUUUUGAAAUAUUUGAAAAAGACAAUGGACUAUGGAAUUUUCUAUAGUGGAUAUCCAACAGUAUUGGAAGGCUAUACAGAUGCCAGUUGGAUAACAGAUCAAGAAGAUCAUGCAUCCACAAGUGGGUGGAUAUUUAUAUUAGGUGGAGGUGCGAUUUCUUGGGGUUCUAAGAAACAGACAUGUAUAGCGGACUCUACCAUGGCAGCAGAAUUUAUAGCACUAGCGUCUACUAGUAAGGAGGUGGAAUGGAUAAGCAAUUUAUUAUAUGAAAUUCCAGUUUGGCCAAAACCAAUGCCGCCGGUAUCGCUACAUUGCGAUAGUGAAGCUACGCUCUCAAGAGCAUAUAGUCAAACAUACAAUGGGAAGUCAAGACAUAUUUGAUUAAGACAUAGCUAUGUAAAACUACUGAUAUCAGAUGGCAUAAUUACCAUUGAUUUUGUAAGAUCAGACCAAAAUCCGCAGCAACUUGUGCCCGCAAUUCUCUUACCUCACUAGGCCCAGCUGGCUCUGGCGCCGCCGGGGGUACGGCUGACUCGGGCACCCCUGGGGGUGGUGCCGGAACAGUCCUACGCACGUAGCGUCUUUUCGGUGCCAUUAGCUCCUGAAACGCAAACAAUCGGUUAAUNCAGUCCUACGCACGUAGCGUCUUUUCGGUGCCAUUAGCUCCUGAAACGCAAACAAUCGGUUAAUUACUUAACCCAACGACGUCUUCGCAAUUACGAAAUGAUACAACUUAACUAAACAAAUCAGAUGGAAGCUCAUAAGUGUACCCGUUCUUGACUCUCGGCAUUGUGUUGUCGGCCGCCAACACAAUCGCCUUAAGCCAAGGACUAGUAUCACUCAAUUGAUCUCUAGCAACUACUAGAGUAUCAACCCCACUUCGACCCAAUCGAUCAACUUCCGCCGCGUCAUAGGUUCACGUCGCACUCACGCACCUAUAACCUUAAUGCUCACCGUCCUAGGGUCUCCUAGGUCAGUCCUAGACUCUCUCUUUUGCUUGCUCUUACUCGCUCUGAUACCACAACUGUCACGCCCCCGCCCCGAGCCCGCUACCAAUUUGGUCCGGAUCGAGCGCGGCGAACGGACGCCGAACAGACAGAGUCUCCCCUGUCCGCCCAAGGCUCAAGCGACGAGAUCAUGUACACAAGUUCCCAGGAAAAACACUCGUUUACAUACAUGAUCAAACAAUGAUAGCGAGAGCACAAACAGUGCUAAACAAACGAGAGCAAGCAACACAUGUAAAGCAUACAAGUGAUAAAAGAGAGAUGUACUUAUCUAUUGAUUCAUUUAACUUUAUACAAUUAUUACAACUAGUACUCUUCCAAAACUAUACAAUAUAUACACAAUCCUCACAACCUCACCCUAUACAUCAUCUACGCUCAAACAUAAGUACAGGGUAGGGCUAAUGCAAAAAGGAGGAGAGCUAGCUAGAACAUGAACCACUAGGGCGCUACGCCCUUGCCGCGAUCCUCUCCCGGGACGCUCGAGCUCGGACCUGCAAUGUGGUGGAGUGAGAACUACGAAUAGUUCCCAGUGGGUUCGGCCGCCGAUACCGCCGAUCUCCCCACUAGGUCUUGAGCAGGCACAGAUAGAUAUGCAGAUAGAUAGAUAUAUAAAACUGAAAGCAGGGACUUCCAAGAGAAUUGAUAUUCAAGACAUCGAUGGGGAUGGGUCUCAAGCCCAUAUUACAAAGUAACCAAUGAUGGAAACUCGACUUAACACUUGAAACAUCAUCAAGUCUUAAGUUCAAUAAGCCAAAGUACAUCAUAUGGAGUGAUUGCAAGCACUAUAAUAUAAAAUUUUCAUCCCAAGUAAAGUGCUUGAUAUCCGUAUUGAAAAGGGAAGGUUGAACUAAUAAAGUUCUUAAUAGACCUACAGUAGUAUUUACUGAAGUAUUAAAUACGGGACACUUCUGGUAGAGUCUACCUAUAUGAAUGUGAAGUGUGGCCGCUUCUAGGAGUUAAGGGCUUGACUCAGUUAGCAUUCAUGAAACAGGAUGCGGACACAAGGCCAUAAAAGUGUCAGCAAUAAAAUAGAGCACUCGACUGAUUAUAAAUUUCUAUGUGUGAUAUGUUCGGUUAGUCGAAAAUAAUUGUUGGUUCAAAGCUUGUCUACCAUUCAAUUAUGACUAACUUUGAUGUGUUUUCACUAAGUGUAGGUUCAAGUUUUAAUACACCUACACCUAUGCAUACGGUUUUGUCAAGUUGUCAAGAAUUUCGAUUUUGAUUUUUGAUUUUGUUUUAUUUUGCAUUNUUGUCUACCAUUCAAUUAUGACUAACUUUGAUGUGUUUUCACUAAGUGUAGGUUCAAGUUUUAAUACACCUACACCUAUGCAUACGAUUUUGUCAAGUUGUCAAGAAUUUCGAUUUUGAUUUUUGAUUUUGUUUUAUUUUGCAUUUUGAUGUAUUUUUAUGUAUUUUAAAAAUUGGUGGGGAAUUGUAAGGAAAUUUUUAAAAUAAUAUAUUUUGUUUAUUGAUUUUUAGUGAAUGGAUGUGAUUCUUCGUGAAAGGAUGCAACCCAUAGUGAAUGGAUGCAACUCUUAAUGAAUGGAUGCAACCCUUAGUGAGUAGAUACAACUCUAAUCAAAGAGUGUGACUCUUAGAGUGAAAGGAUGUGAUUUUUAGUGAAAGGAUAUGAGAUGAAAAGACACAUCUUUAUAGUGUGUCUUUUCGUAUAUACGUCCGUUGGAAUUAAUUCUUAUAUUCAUUGAACUUGACUCAUAAAACGAAUUGGUAGUUAUGAUAAAAUAAAAAGUCACAAUUGAAGAGCCACUUCAUGAAACACCCGUUCAUGAAUAGUCACUUCAUGAAGCACCCGUUCGUGGUCUAUAUAAGUCCACAACGUUGGUUGCAGAAAGAAGAUAGAAAAACAGUUGAAGAGUUUAAGUCUCCAUUCACAAUAAUUAUAUUCUUGUUUUCUUAUUCUAUUUCUUUUGACAACUUAAUCAAAUGAGUGCUCAAAGGCUCGACUUCGUGUGUGCAAACGCAGUUGAGGUUUAUGCUUCAUUGUAUCCUGGGAGGCUGUUCGUUGACCCGGUACACACCAAAUUGUUAGAACGGUGGGGACGGAUUAAGCCUUAAGGAAAGUGGCAUUGCUACACGCUUUGAAGCCUUUUUCAUCUUUCUAUUUCAUACAUUUAUCACUAUCUGUUCACCUACCACCAUCAUCUCAACCCUAUAUCUCUUCAUCCAAUGAUUAAAAACUCAAAAGCAUCACUCCUUUGGUGCUUUUGAGAGUAUUCUAGCUCAACUAUAUAUACAGCAGGACUGCUGUGCUCUUAAGAGCACGGAGGCCUCCGUGCUCCUAAGCCGUUUUCGAUGAGGGAAUUUUCGAAUCGACGAUCGGCUCCGUUAGACUUGAUCUAGCGUAUUUGAAGUUUCUAGAAAAUAAUUUUUGUGAAUUUUUGAUAUCAUUUACCUAGUGAUCGAAAGGGUUCAAAAUCAAUAAUUUUUAAUGGUUGAUAUCUGCCAUUUUCAAGUUUAACAAUAUAAAAGUAUUCAAAUCAGAUGAAAUUUUGAUUAAAAUUUUUUAUACUAUCUACAACAAGAUCAAUAUUUCUGAUCGAAAAUUUUAGUGCUAUAUCACCACUUUUUAGGGGCCGUUUGGUUACAUGUAGUUGCAACUACACUGCAGUUGUAACUGCAUGUAAAUACAAAUUUCGUAUUUGGUUUGAUGUAUUUAACUCCAACUACUACAGUAGGAAGUGCAGGAGGAGGCCCAACUGCAGCAGUUCGAACUACGUCCAAAUUGGCCGCAAUUCCAACUACGUACAGCGGUUGGAGAGAGUAACUUUAAAUAAAAUGUAUACUUACCUCUUCAAUAUUUUUUAAACAAAAGUUAUUUUUCUUUUUUAUAUUGGAGGUAAUUUCACCAUCAUAUAUAUAAAAUAAUAAAAUUUUAAAAAUUAUUUCUCAACUGCAUACAACCAAACAAAUUAUUUAUACUUGCAGCGCUUUCUACUACAUCCAACCAAACAUAAUUCAUGUAGUUGUAAUUGUUGUAUUUCCAACUGCAUGUAUCUCUAACUACACUGCAUUUAUAAUUACAUCUAACCAAACGGCUUAUUAUAGAAUUUUUAUUUUCAGGCGUUAAAAAUUAUUGAUUUUGAAUCCUUUCGAUUACUAAGUAAAUGAUAUCGAAAAUCGCAAAAAUUAUUUUCUAAAAACUUCAAAUACGCUAGAUCAAGUCUAACGGAGCCGAUCGUCGAUUCGAAAAUUCCAUCAUCGAAAACGGCUCAAGAGCACGAAGGCUCCGUGCUCCUGAGAGCACAGCAGUCCUGCUCACUAUAUAUAUAUAUAUAUAUAUAUAUAUAUAAUAUACUAUAUGAGUAUAUUAUAGAUCUAGGAUACUUUACAAAGUAUCAUCCCCAUGUUGCUAUCCCGUUUUUAGGCCAUGGAUCUACUUUUGAUUACAAAUAGCCCUUGGAUCCAAACACUAUUUCACCUACACCACUACCACCACCUACCACCAUCAUCUCAACCUCACAUCUCUCCAUCCAAGGCUAAAAACACACAAGUACACUUGGUGUAUACUUGUAAAGUAAUUCUAGCCCUAACUCUAUAUAAUAUAUUAUAUUAUAUAUAUUAUAUAUAAUUAUAUAUAUAUAUAAUAUAAUAUAAUAUAUAUAUAUAUAUAUAUAUAUAUAUAUAUAUAUAUAUAUAUAUAUGAGCUCCUAUGCUUUUAAAAGUACCAAGUCAUUGUGUUUGUAAGUUUUCGGCCCUUGGAUUAAGGGAUGUGCGGUUAGGAUGAUGUGGCUCUCUAAGGUUGAGUAGUGUUGGUUGAAAUAGUAUAAUCCAACGAUAAAAAUGAUUAAAAGAGAGAUCUAACGUAAAAAAUUUACAAGGCAACCAAGUUUUUGUGCUUUUACAAGCACCAUAGCCGGACUAUAUAUAUAUAUAUAUAUAUAUAUAUAUAUAUAUAAUAUAUAUAUAUAUAUAUAAUAUAUAUAUAUAUAUAUAUAUAUAUAUAUAAUAUAUAUAUAUAAACUCAUUUAGAUGGUUGGAUAUAGCAUUUUUGUAUUUUUUAAUAGGAUUAAUUGAGCUCCCUAUAAAUAUAUUGAAUAGCAAAUAUAUUUCUAUAAGUUCAGUUUUUUAUUUUUAUUCAUGUAGAAGUCCAGUGAUAUUCAUAUUUGCCCCUUUGAUUUGGUACCGUUAGAGCACUGUUUAAUUUCUAACAACAGUUAAGUGAAAUGAUAUUUUUUUCUUAUCCCUCCAAAAGCCCCAACUGCUAUAUUUAUUCCUCUCAAAAAAGUAUUUUAUCUAAUAAUAUAAUAGGGGUAAAAAGAUCAGUUUAACUCAUUCAAUAAUGAGGGUUAAGUACUUUACUCGUGAUUAAUUAUAUUUUUCUAAUGGAUCUUAAUAGCAUGGAUAUAUUUGUUUUGUACGAAUAAAAAUAAAAAAUUGUGCUUUGUAUGGAUAUAUUUACUAUUCGAUAUGUUUGCAGGGAGUAGUUGUAUGCUAUUAACCCUUUUUAAUAUAUAUGCUCCUUAAAGAUAGGUUAUCCUACAGGUGGAGGGAUGAAUUUUAUAUCCAUCAAAACUAUGAUCUCUUUAGGCCCUUUUUGAUAACAGAAAAUAUUUAGAACGAAAUAUUUUAUUUUUCAAAUUUUACCAAAAAAAAGUUAAAAAUAGGGAUGCAAACGGGAAUCAGCUGGAUUGGUGGAGCUCCCACUUCGAUUUGCUCCAAAUAAGGCAGUAAACGGGAAAAAAAUAAACUGAUGCGAGAUAGGAAACAUGAUAAUUUUUAUGAUCGAGGCGGAUUCGGGCAGGAAACGAAAAAAAUUUUGAUCCGCUCCAAAUCCGCCACGAAUCCGCCCCGUCAUGAUCCGCUCAAAAUCCGCUGCGAAAACCGUUUAUAUUUUAAGAAAAUAUCCCUAAAAAUAAGAUAUUUACAAAAAAAUCACAAUACAAAUAAAUUGAUACUCUCAUUUCUCAUGUAUUUGAAACUUUUAAAUUUUGCUUCGAAUUGUAAUUGAUAUUUUUUAUUUUUAUAAUUGAUGUUGUUAAUUUUAUAUAUAACUCAGUAAUAUUAUUUAUUAUUAUUAAAAAAUUAUUAAUUUAUAUUUUACAAAAUAUAUUAUAAUUUUUUUAAAAAAAUAUUAAUUAAUAUGGCGAAUUCGGAGCGUCGGUGGAAGAUGGGUUAUGAAAUUUUGGUAGUCCGGUGUGGGAGGCGCGGUGGGUCUCCGGCCCCCAAAUCCACCCCACUUGUAUCUCUGGUUAAAAAUAACAUAAAUAAAUAAUUUCGGUCAAAGUGGGAAAUUCUAGUUUAUCAUGCCCCCACCUACCUCCUAUUCAUCGCCUCCCCCAAAAGCUUCGUCUCCCUUUCUCUCGCUCCACUUAACUCCAUUUUCUUACCUAAUCUUAACCUCCCUGAAAAACUUUAUCUACCUCUCCCUCUCUCAUCUUCAUGGACGGAGCUAUUAAUAGACCCAAAGGGGCCGUGGUUUCUCUCAACUUUUCAAUAUUUAGUUUAUAAUCUUUUGGUAGCUUAUAAAUUUUUAGUUAAUUUUUAAAAUAUAUGAACAUAUUUUGUAAAAAAUAUUUAGUACUUAGUAUAGGGCUCUCUUUUUUCUUAUGUGUUUUAUAGGUAAAAAUACGCUAAGAACCUCUUAAUUAUAGUGCAUUUUAUUAACAAAAAUUUAAAUUCUAACUAAAUUACUAUUAGAUUUAGUAAAAUUCUUAAGUUAUUUGAUUAGAAUAAUGUAAAUAAAAUAAUUAGAAUUUAAGCGAGUGUAAGUUAACGAAAUAAAUUUAAUACUUUUUAACAUUAAUUAUCUAAUCACUAAAUUUUUUUUAUUAAGAAUUUGAAUAAUUAAAAUCUUAUUUAUUGUUAAAAUUUUUAUUUGUAUAUAUUUUGGCCGCCCUCGUGAUUGAAUCCUCGCUUCGUCCCUGCUCGUCUUCACUUCGAACUCUCAAAUCCUACAUUUCUGGGUAGGAAGCCGGUGCUUUCUCUUUUAUUUUUACUCCAUUUCUUCUCUAGAAUUCAUCUUCAUUAUCUUCCCUCUUUACAAAUUUAUGUAAUAUUGCUUAUAUUACAAAUUUAAAUACAAUUUAUUCGAACAAAAUAUUUCAUAUAAGUUAUUAUCUAUGUUACGAACACAGGUUCAUAGUAUUAAAGGGCAAUAUUGGUAUUUAAAUUUGUAAUAUAAGCAAUAUUACAUAAAUUUGUAAAGAGGGAAGAUAAUGAAGAUGAAUUCUAGNNNNNNNNNNNNNNNNNNNNNNNNNNNNNNNNNNNNNNNNNNNNNNNNNNNNNNNNNNNNNNNNNNNNNNNNNNNNNNNNNNNNNNNNNNNNNNNNNNNNUCAAUUUAAGAUCGGAGUUAUUGAUCUUUAUCUAGGUAGUGAAUAGAAUUUUCUAUCAAAAAUUCAACCUUCUCGGAUUUUUUUGCACCAUUAAACUAGCAAGUGUUCCAUACCAGCCGUUAAAAAUUGUCAAUUUUGUGAGCUUUUGAUCGUAAAGUAAUGAUAUCGAAAAAUUAUAAAAUUUAAUUUUUAGAUAUUUUAAAUGCUCUGUGACACCCCAAUAGUCCCAUAUCGGAUGGGAAUGGGGUUGUCAUUGGGUUUAUAAGAGACUUAGACACUNUCAAAUUUAAUUAAUUUAUAUUAUAUAAUAAAAUUUAAGUCUAAAUAUAUUAUCAUAAAAAUAAUAUUUAUAUUAAUAUAUUUAUUUAUAUAUCUAUUUAUCUAAUAAAAUAAAGAUAAGAAUAAAGUUGUUCUCAGUUUUUCUAGGGACAAUUUUUAGCGGGUUGUUCCAGAACAAUCCAGAACAACCUGUUUUGACCAGAACAAUCCGUUUCCUCCUGUUCUUUUACCGCAUGGUUAUAAUUUAGGGAACAUCCUGUAUUGUUCCGAAAUAUCCUCGGUACCAACCGCAGCUGAGAGAACAAGGUUACCAUCCUAGAGAGGGGUACGUGGAGACGAAUUAGCGCUCUAUGGUUUCGAUCUCGUCCUUUUCCUCCUUAUCUAAAGCCAGAAGCUGGGAAAAAGAGGGAAAAAAAUAAAAAAUAAAAUAAAAUAAAAUCUCCCUUCGGAUUUACUCGGCCAUGUAUGAUUGGGCUGGGCCAGUAAUGAUGCCUUGGGCGAGCCGGUCCAAUUAAAGAAAAUGAUAGCUUGGGUCCGGGCCAGAACUUCCAGUGCCUUUGAUUUUAAGGCCCCGACAAACUCGGUGUACCGGAUUGGACGAGUCGCGUUGGUGGGUCACUGGGUCGAGCCAGAUUUGCUCGAGCCUAAAUUAUCUUGCAUGCGUGAUAGCUAGUGCACCAGCAAAUAUGUAAGUACUCCGAGCAGAAGAUUCCUCUGCAAAUGCCUCGCCCUCAACUCAUCCAAUCGGGGGGAGUCCGCGAAGGCAACGAAAAAUUGUCAGGUGAAAUUUUGUUGUUGCCCUUUAAUGUAAAAGACCCAAAACUCUCCUCAUGGAUCAGUAUCCUGUUUUCACUGGCCAGUAUUCAGAGCAGGAGCAUUAAAAAAAUGUAACCCCAAAUCCAACCUGCUGAAUCUAUUCCCGUACUUGUUACUUGGCCCAUGCCUCCGUAAAAUGGCAUAUUGUUUUGCAUAAAUAUCUUUUAGGCCCGUUUGAUUUAACGUGAAACUGUAAAAAGUAAUUUUUGGUUUUUUUUUUUUUUUUUAACGUUUUGUAGUGUUCGGUGUGUAGGAAAAAAAUAAUUUUUUAUCAAUAUUUGUGAAACAAUCGUUGUACUCUAAAAAUUUAAGUUGUUAGAGAACGGUAUUUAUAUAUUUUUCUAUAUUUAAUAUUUUUCUUAACAUUCCCUCUCACAUCUGGGCUCAAGAUUUUCCCCUCACAUCUGGACUCGAGAUUUUUGUAAUGCCCAUAGCGUGAACUUAAAUUAAAUGAAAGAAAAUUAAUAAUCUUAACACUCCCCUCACAUCUGGGCUGUGAGCUUGAAUUUUUUGCAAGGCGUAUAACGUCAAGCUUAAAUUAAAUGAGAAAAAAUUAAUAAUUUUAACACUCUCCCUCACAUCUUGGCUCGAAAUGACUUAAAUUAACUUAGAGAAAAUUAAUAAUGUUAGAAGUCUAGCAUGACUCGAAAUCAGAAUCUUCUGCUCUGAUAUUAUAUGAAACAAUCGUUAUACUCUAAAAGCUUAAAUUAUUAGAAAAUAAUAUAUAUAUAUAUAUUUUUUAUUUAACACUCCCCUUAAUAACAUUUAUUUGGUUAAAAGAAAAAAAAAUCCACACUUGCUUGGUUCGGUCGAAAAAAAAUGUUUGAAAAAAAUUUUACGCAGUUUAAAUUUUCGUUUUUCACCAAAAAAUAGCAAAAAAAAUAAAAAUUUCAAUUUUUUCUAUAUUCGUAAAAAUACAUGCAUGAAAAGAUAGUUUUACGUCAAGCCAAAUAAGCGGAAAAGUAUUUUUCAUACCAAAAAUAAAUUUUUGGUUCAUCUUAGGCGAACCAAACAUCCCCUUAGUGAAAAACAAUUUCACAUAUUUUUAGUGAAACAUAUCUUUGUGGUUUGUUUUAUAGAAAAAUAUUUUUUUUUUGAGAAAUAUUUUAUAGAAAAAUAUUAUCUGUACACCUCAAAAAGAGAAAGCAUAUUUACACACUAAAGUUUUGAAUUUAUAAAUUUUAAUUUUAAUAUUAUAGAAAAAUUGACAAGGCAUGCAUAGGAGUGAUAUAGAUCCUUAGACAAAGGAGCCUAAGAUUUACUCUUUUGUUUUUGGAUAUAUAAAUCUCACUGUUCUUUUCGAUACGAAUGCGCAACUUCUUUUUUUUUUUUUUUCACUCUUUCUUGAGGCCUUGGAUACUUUAUUCUUGUAGCUUAAUUCACUCUUUUUAUGAAUAAUUAAAGUGAGUAGCAGGCUAUCUUCUUUUUCAAAAAAAAAAAAUGUGCAACUUAAAGUGAAAACUUUUUCCCCUCACUUUCCGUCUCUCUCAACCUAUUUUCUUUUUCUGCAAACUGACCAAUUACAUGUCUCAAACUUUAUCUCGGCCAAAGCAACUAGAAAAAUAAAUGUAAUAUUUUUCAAUGAAAGAAUGAAUUUUCUCAUGGAAAGUGCUUUUAAUAGUUUUCUUUUAAAUCAAAAUAGCUAAUUAAUGAGUUAUACGGAGAUAUUAAAUGUGGAUCGGAUCACGAUCUGAGACUUGUCACUUGGGCAAGAACCAGUAUCUAAAUCUUUCAUAGACAACACCAAUGUUUUCUUUUUUGCCCUACUAGCUAGGUGUGGUUAUUGGAGUGAACCCAUUAACUAAUCGCCACAAAACACUACCUAGUUAAGAAUAGGUUGUUGUUACAUAUCCAAAACAAAAACUAAUCGUUUUUUAGUACAGGUCAGGCCAUUAAAAAAAGUGCUGUACUUAAACUACAAAAAAUAAAUGCCAAAUCAAGGAAAUGUGAAACAGGCCAGAUUUGAGCAGAACUAGAUCGAAGUAGAUCGAGAUUCUUCGCCUGGCCCUGAGUUACAAAUGGUAACUUAAAUGCCCAUGUGAUUGCUGCAACAUUGUCCCUGUCCCCAUUGUCAAUUCAAUCCGAGAAAUUACUGGCUCUGCCGCGCCAUAACUAAGUCCUAUAUAUAUACUGGAACACUUGUAUGUAUGAGUUUUACUACGUACGUACAGAGGUUCCAAAAAUCAUAAUAUAAUAUGUUCUUCAAUAUUUGAAGAGAUCUAGCUAUCUAUAGAUUGAGAGUCACAUAUUUUAGAUAUCGAAUUCUUAGCGAUCGAACAUUGAUUUUUGGGCUGCUCGAUACCUUUGGUAAUAGAAUUACUAAAAAUUUACAAGUUUUUAUAUACAUAUUCUUUGAUUAUUGCAUGUUGUACGUAUAUUAUAAAUGUAGAAUGAAUUAAGUUAGAAUAUUUUGGACAAUAAUAUUCACUGUAUACUUUUUAACAAUUAGAUAUCUAGUCUAGGAUUUAAUAUUGGUAGGUAGAAGUAGAACAACAUUAAUGUAGAAGGUUAAUUAGAAAGUUGAUUGAAAAAAAAAAAAAAAUUAUUUACUGUCAAUUAAUAGUGUUCUAGAUAAACUCAAUGUAUAUGGUGCAUGAGAUGUACGAAUGCACGUGGUGUAUGCAGUAAUUUCUGAUAAAAUUCGGCCCGAGUCCGCAUAGGCCGAGGUGGUUGGAUCCUCUUAAAUGCCACGUGUCUCCAGAGGAACCCCGACCAAAAAGAUCCCAAGAUUGAGCUGCACCCAAUGGGGACUCCAGUACAGGAUCUCAAAUAUGGUUUUUGGUGCGUGGUGAGUUAAAAAAAAUGGAGAAGCGCCUUGGCUCAAGAGGAGGGGUCGACGGAGACAGGGAUAAGGUGAGGAGGAACUUAAAUGAGCCAUUAAUGGCUCCCAAUCCCAUUUGCUAAAGCAUGGUGAGAAAUUUAAUGCCCUCCAUUAAUUUAUUUUUAUGGUACCUCUCAUUAGAAGUUUUAGGCUUUUAUCUCGUCGUGUUAUUUCCAUACUCUACUGAGUUUAGAGUUCUACAUUGCAUCCAUCCAAGAGUUAAUAUAGGUUUUUUUUUAAAUUUUACUGUUUAAAAAAUAGGAUUGUAAUAUGACUAACGAUCGAGCUGAUAACAUUAGGCGUCUUUCUUUUCCUUUUGAAAGAGAAAGAUAGCAUAACUCAAGUUUUUGGUGCGAUCGCUCGAGAUUUGAGACAGUUGAAUUUUACUAAAAUAGUUUCAUUAGCUCCGGUAAGUAUUAUAAAUAGUAGUAGAUAAGAUUAUGCUAUAGUAGGGUAUCUAAAAUAGACCAAAUUAGUAGAUUGUGUCUCACAUAUAUACUUUCUUAAAAAAAAAGGAAACAUACUGAUUAUAUCAAAAUUAGAAAGAAUCCAUAAUUUUAGUUCGCCAUGGGUAGGGACAUUAUUGCCGAUUUAAUAAUUUCUAGACGUUUUUUUUUUUUUCUUUUAAAAGAGAAAGAUAGCAUGUUAUCUCAAAUAAAUUUUGAACUCGAGUCUUCAAAUAUGAACUAUCAAAUUUUUAGUCAACGGUACUAGAUAAAUUGGGGUCUACUACUUUGAACACUCCAAAAUAAAUAUUGCGUUAGGAUUGAGCAACACGUGGCUUAGUGUGCUUAAAUAUUCGGGGCCCAGUGUUUUGGAUUUUACCGGACGUUCUAGUUGAAGUGCAUAUAUAUGUAACUCGGUCGAUCAGUGGGUCAAGGGGAGGAGUAAAUGCUCUAACAUUUGUGAUCCUCUCCCUCCUUGUGAAAGGGCUCCGAUUAAUGGAGAAUUAAACAUUGAUGGUUCCCUUUGGCCACACCCUCAACUAUCAACUAUAACUAGAAGUAUAGGUUUUGGGAAAUUGUGUUUCUUCCAGUUGUGCAUAAAUGAUGUACCAAAUCACUCGAUUUGGAUUAUAUGUAAGAUCCAUGUAUAUGCCACACUAAUAUUUUGGCAAUUUUGCGAUAAUUGUUAGAGCUGGUGGGAAGUAUGAACAUCUUAUUUAUCAUAUAUAACUCCUUAAAUUGUUCAUCUGUGAUAAUUAUUAGCUCAUGUUAAAAUCUCAAAGAUGAUUAUAAUAUUAAUUACAGACUCUUAAAUCGUAUUUUUGAAAUAUAGCAGAUCACCAAACAGAUGGUACAAACGAUUACAAUCUCAAAAUAAGCAUCAGAUGAAACUUCUGAGUGAUAAUCGCCAAAAAAAAAAAAAAAAAAAAAAAAUCUGUAUCAUAUGAAUGAUUAAGCUGUCAAAAUAACUGACAAAUACAACUUUUGAACUGUAAUUGUAAAAAAAAAAAGCCCUAUUGUAACGAUACGUGGUUCAAGAUGUGAUCAUUCAAAUUAAUUGGUCAUAACGAAAUAAUUAAUAAAUUCUCUUUGGAUAAAAAAAAAAUAAUUAAUUUAUAAAGGAGCGGAGGGAGUAAUAAAUGCAUUAAUGUUCAAGAUGGUGAGAAGGACGUACUUACUAAAAUUAAAUAAUUAUAAGGUACCUUUCAAUGUGAUGUGAUGUAGCAUGUAUAAAUACGAAACAUAGGCCUUGCCUGACCAUAUUCAAUUGCAUUAAAUUAACAUCACACUCGGCUACUUAAAUUGCAGUGCGGUUCGAAGAGCAAACCAAAGUUUGGCAUGCAGUCCUUAGACACGACAUUUAAAGCAGGAACCUGAAGAAAGUUUAUUAAAGGGAAAACUUUAAAAAAUUCCUCUGUGGUUUCGUAUUUUUUUAUUUUAAUAUUUCGUAGUUUAAAAUGUAUUAAAUUAGUAUCAUGUGGUUUUAUAUUUUCUCACUUUAGUAUUCUGUGAUUUAAAAUGUAUCAAGAUAGUAUUCUGUGGUUUUAUUUUUGUAUCAAGUUAGUACCUUGUGGUUUUAUUAUUGUAUCAAGUUAAUACCAUAUGAUUUUGUAAAUUACAGGGUACUAAAGUGAGAAAGUGCGAAACCACGGGAUACUAAAGUGAGAAAGUGUGAAAUCAUAGGAUACUAACUUGUUACACUUUAAACCACAUAAUACUAAAGUGAGAAAAGUGAAACCAUAAGGAGGGUAUUUGAAGUUUUCCCUUUAUUAAAUUAGUUUACAAUAAAAGCACAUCAUUUGGAGCGAUUAUAUAUAUAUAUAUAUAUAUAUAUAUAGUUGAGCUAUGAUACUUUUACAAGUAUCACCAUCAUGGUGCUAUUAGGUUUUAAGCCAUUGGAUCUACUUUUUGAUUAUUAAUAGUCCUUGGAUUAAACACUAUUCCACCUGCCACUAUCAUCUCAACCUCACAUCUCUCCAUCCAAGGGCUAAAAACACACAAGUAUCACCCCCAUGAUACUUUUACAAGUAUUCUAGCCCUACUAUAUAUAUAUAUAUAUAUAUAUAUGUAGAGUAGGGCUACUAUACUCUUAUGAGUAUAGAAGCCUUCGUACUCAUAAGUUGUUUUCGAUGAUGGAGCUUCCGAAUCGAUGAUCCACUCCGUUAAAUAUGAUCUAGAGUAUUUGAAACUUCUCGAAAAUAAAUUUUGUAAAUUUUUGAAAUCAUAAUAAAGUCCAUCAAGAAGACAUAAAAUAAACAGUCAAAAUCGAACGACGUCCUAAAAAUGGAUGAUCGGAUCCUUCAAUUUAAGAUCGGAGUUAUUGAUCUUUAUCUAGGUAGUGAAUAGAAUUUUCUAUCAAAAAUUCAACCUACUCGAAUUUUUUUGCACCAUUAAACUAGUAAGUAUUCCAUACCGGCUGUUAAAAAUUGUCAAUUUUGUGAGAUUUUGAUCGUAAGGUAAUGAUAUCGAAAAAUUAUAAAAUUUGAUUUUUAGAUGUUUUAAAUGCUCUAGAUAACGUUUAACGGUGUGGAUCGUCGAUUUGGAAGCUCUAUCAUCAAAAACAACUUAUGAGUACGAGAGUGAUCGUACUCAUAAUAGUAUAGUAGUUAGUUAAGACCGCUCGAUAUUUAUAUUCAUCACCACAUUCUUUUUCUCUUUUACAGCCGGAAAAUGGAAAGAUCAAUCUUUUUAAGUUCAACGGUGUAGAAGUAUCCAAAUUACAUGAAAGUUUAAUAGAAAAUUCUACUUAACAUCAAUAGCAAGAUCAAUACUUCUGAUUUGAAAUUUGAGUCCUUUAUCAUUAUUUUUUAUAAGAUUUUUAUUUUCAGCCGUUCAUUUUGAGACUACUCGUUCACUAGGCAAACGAAGUCAAAAAAUUAUGAAAUUUGGUUUCUAGAUAGUUCCAAUAGCGUAGAUCAUAUCUAAUGGAACUGAUCGCCGAAUCAAACGUCUCAUCAUCAAAAACAACUUACAAGUACGGAGGCCCCGGUACUUUCGAAAGCAUAGGAGCCUACAUAUAUAUAUAUAUAUAGUUGAGCUAGAAUACUCUCAAAAGCACUAUGGGGGUGGUGCUUUUGAGUUUUUAGCCAUUGGAUGGAGAGAUGUGAGGUUGAGAUGAUUGUGGUAGGUGGUGGUAGGUGGAAUAGUGUUUGAUCCAAGGGCCAUUAGUAAUCAAGAAGUAGAUCCAAUGGCUAAAACCUAAUAGCACCAUGGGGGUGAUACUUGUAAAAGUAUUCUAGCUCAAUUAUAUAUAUAUAUAUAUAUAUAUAUAUAUAUAUAUAUAUAUAUAUAUAUAUAUAUAUAUAUAAAUAUAUAUAUAUUUAUAGUCCGGUUACUAUCCUAUUAAUAGGAUUGAGCCAUUGUCCUAUCAAGUCGUUUGAUCGAUCGGAACUAUUCAAAUUGAUAAUCGACACCGUUGAAAUUGAUCUACACAAUUAAAAAUGUUUAGAAACCAAAUUUUUGUAAUAUUUAAAAAUCAUUAUCAAGUUCAUCUUAAGAGGCACUGACAAGUGAUCACUAGACAAAUGAUAUCGAAAAAUCGCAAAAUUUAUUUUCUUAGAUACUUCAAAUACUGUAGAUCAAGUAACGGAGCCGAUCGUCGAUUCGAAAGUCGAACGUCGAAACAAAGUGAAGCACGAGCCCCUCGUGCUUUCAUAAGCAUUUUAGCCGCACUAUAUAUAUAUAUAUAUAUUAUUAUAUAUUUAUAUAUAUAUAUAUAUAUAUAUAUAUAAUUAUAUAUUCUUUAUUCUGUUUGAGUUUUUUUUGCAUUUAGCCCCCUGGCAAAUUUUUAUUUUAAAAAUAGCCUUGUCAAAAUUUAAUUUGCAAAAAUGACCCUAGCCUACACGCAGGGUGCCACUGUCAGCGCCCCGCUGGCGGGGCGGUGCUGGAGGCGGUAGUUAAGUUAAACACGGUGAACCAUUCACUGUGUCUAAACACGGUGAAUGUUCACCGUGAUUUAGUACGGUAUUUUUGUUAUUGAAAGAGAAUAGGAAAUUUGUAUUCCCUCUUCUAUUUUUUCAAAAAUCCGAACCCGAAACCCGAAAAUCAAAUUAAAAUUCAAACCGGAUAAACCCGACGGAUUUAAAAAUUCAUACCCAUAUCCAUAUCCGACCAAAAAAAUUGAAACCGAACCUGAACUUCAGCGGAUUUUUAAAAAUCUAUACCGUUAGAAUGAAGAUCUAAGAAAUAAAAAUUAUUAAAUAUUUUAUAUAUUGUAUAAAUAAAUAAAAAUAAAUUAUAUAUAUAUAUAUAUAUAUAAAAUUUAUUCGGGUUUGGAUUCGGAUAAUAUUUUGGAUAUCCAUAUCUAUUGACAUCCCUACUUUCUAUUUCUUUUUUCAAUAUACAAAAAAAUACGUACUAAAUACGGUGAACCAUUCAUUGUGUUUGAACACGGUAAAUGGUUCACCGUGUUCAACUUAACAUACGGGCUCCGUUCCUGCCUGCGUGGCGCUGACGUAGUACCUGUGUGGCAGACUUAGGACCAUUUUUGCGAAUUAAAUUUUGACAGGAUUAAUUUUAAAAUAAAAAUUUAUCGGAAGGCUAAAUGCAAAAAAAAAAAAACCCUUCUGUUUGGCAUUUCCGUAUCGAUAAUUUGGGGAUUAGGCGUUUUCGGAUUUUACGGGAGCGGUGACAAAGAAGAUAAAAGCUGCCAUUCACAUGAUAGCAGUUACCAUGCACGGCGCACAUGAUGCGUCCUUGUUUUCUCGGCACAAGAGCUCGGAGCUCGCAUGUUCGUGGUGCACAGUAUACACACAUAUAAAGCACGUGACAACCCCUGCUACCGCAUCUCCCCGUCCGUGACCUCACCACUUCACCUCUAUUUUAUUAUUAUUUUUAUUACUGCUAGCGUACAAACUAAGAGGAACGACCGCGCAGCAGAAGCGAUGCGAAAGGAAAGAGAUUCGGAUCGAAUUUGUCCCGGGACUGGCGAUUACCGGCCCCUGAUUUACGCCGCACAAAACUACCGCCGCUUACAACGCCGUUUUAUAUGCUCUAUUGCUCUUUGUCCGUUGCACAUAAUGUCUACUCUAGCACGCACUCCCUCCGCAACACCGGAACAAAUUAAUUAAAUCUCCACCGUUUCGACCCGCAAGUUAAUUUGAAGCACCUACAUAUUCUAUCCUCCUUUGUUUUUUUUUUUGACAAUUUCUACUUGUACAUUUUAAAAGGGAAUAUAGAUCUUACAUUCUUCAGUGUGGAAUUAAUAGUGCUUGAAUGGAAUGGGUAUAAGAUAUACACCUAGUAUUUUUUUUUUUUUUUUUUGUGGCUAAUUUACCUAAAUGGCGUUUGCAUUUUAGACUAUAUAUGUCUUAAUUAACUUUCUGCAUUAAACAUUAUAUUAAUUUUCAUUCUGAUUUUUGUCAUUAUUUCAAAUAGUUUUAAAAGUUUAGAAUGAUUAUUACAUUUAUCUAGUAAAUAUUUAGUAAAAAUAAAUUUAUAGAUAAAAAAGAGAUUGUAGAGGCUAUAGUGACAUGUGUCAUCAUCUUAUAGCUGCAGCAGCCCUCUUUCAAUGUAUUGUUAAUUAAGAUUAAAAUAAAAUAGAUUUCCAAACUAAAAAUAUUUUGGGAGUUUGCCAAUAUUUUAAUGCCCUUUUGGUAUUAACUUUUUUUUUUUUUUUUUUUUUGAGAGAUAGGCAGCACGCUACCCGCUUCGUUUAUUUCAUUUAGAAAUAAAUUUAGCUGGAAAUAUGAAUCAACUAGAAUUCAAACUUGCGACCUCGGGUACCGAGCAACAAGCCUUUUGCCACUUGCUCUAGAAACGAUCGGUGUUAUUAACUAUUAAGGUAGUCUGAUGCUGCUAUAUCAAAAGUAUAUAGUUGGAAUUGUACACGAUAUGUUUUAUCAAUUUUCUAAAAGGAAUCACUAAAUGCAUAUUUUAGCUAACUCAUUCUUACAUGUACAACGUUAGAUUGUCACGGUAACAAAUAUAUUAAUAAUAUUUUUUUUUUUUUUUUUUUUUUUUUUGUUUUAUAGCAAUUAAGUUCACUAAAAGGAAUUAAAAACUAUUAUUGUUGCCUAGAGUCAAAUUGAUCUCAUGCAACAACACAUGCACCGACGUAAUCAAAUCCGAUUACCCGGAGUUAAUCUCGUGAACCCCAUCAUCCCCUCCCCAAACCACUCCCCUUUCUUUCCGUUGCUUCCAACGACCAACCACCACCCCAACCUCCACUCCUCUCCACUAUAAAUGUGUGCGCGCGAACACACACCCCUAACUCAAAUCCCACACAUAUACGCCUCUCGGGAUAAUGGAGAUGAUUAAGAUCACCAACUGCUUGUUGCUUGUUGCGUCCCUGCUCUUGAAGCUCCAUAGUUCUAAUGCUUCCUCGUCCUCUUUAGAUUACGCAGACGCCCUCGAGAAAUCGAUUCUUUUCUUCGAGGGCCAGCGGUCGGGCAAACUCCCCGCCGAUCAGCGAAUGACUUGGCGGGGCGACUCCGCGCUCUCCGACGGCUCCGCUAACCAUGUCUUUACUCUCCUCCAAUUAAUGCCAUUUUUCGCAUAUAAUUUUAUCUUAUUAAUAGUAGCAGCAGAUCACUGCAAUCCCUCCGCAAUAUAUAUACUAGUGCAGAUUAAGUAUGAAAAUUUUGGCUUGCAUUGUUAUAAAUGAAUUGUAGGUGGAUUUGGUGGGAGGAUAUUACGAUGCGGGGGACAACGUCAAGUUCGGCUUCCCGAUGGCCUUCACGACGACGAUGCUGGCGUGGAGUGUGAUCGAGUUCGGAGACAAGAUGCAGGGCCAGCUCGAUCACGCCAGAGCCGCCGUCCGGUGGGGCGCCGACUAUCUUCUAAAAGCCGCCACAGCAACUCCCAACACUCUAUAUGUUCAGGUCGCUAAACUUGUACAUCAUUAGACAUGACUUCUACACUGUAAACAAAAUUAUAUUUAAACUUUUUUUUUUUUUUUUUUAUAUUUAACUACACUUAAAAGUGUCUCAAUAUAAUCUUUCGUUAUUUUUUAAAGCGUCCAUCAAAAUAUCAACAAAUAAAGAAUCACUAUAUAUAUAUCAAUGUUUAUACUAAAUAUCGGUAAAAUAUAUUCUGACGUUUUAAAGUAUCAGUAUUUUUUGAAUAGAGGGUUCAUAUGACAACGUUUUUCGAAUCGUCAGUAUUUACUAUAUUAUAGAGACGCUUUCCUCAAGAGUCGUCUAAAAAGUGUUCUUAUAUUGAGUUUUACUUAUAGUGUAAUUACAUUACUCAUUUUCUGAUAGUUUGAAAACUAAUUGUAUGUUGUGAUCGAUUCUGGUAGAAUUAAAAAGUAGCGGAAACUUAUAAACUGGAUAAUCAAUAUAUCCAGAAAUUAAAAUCAGAUCAAAGGAUCGCUUGUUUAAUCCUAUGACUUGAAUAACUGGAUUAAAUCUCCAUCCGCUACCUCUUUUUCGGAACGCAAUUAAUUAGUAAUUGAUGAUUUCUUAAACUGUAGGUUGCUGACCCGAAUAAGGAUCACCAAUGCUGGGAGAGGCCGGAGGACAUGGACACGCCCCGCGGAGUCUACAAGGUGACGAGCCAAAACCCCGGGUCCGAUGUCGCGGGAGAGACGGCCGCGGCAUUGGCGGCGUCCUCUAUUGUGUUCAGAGAUUGCGAUCCAGCUUACUCUCGGAAACUACUACAAACAGCCAUGAAAGUAAAUCACAAUCUCCACUAUAUAUGUUAUAUAUAGUUUAGUUCAUCUUUUCAAUAAAUGAAACGAAUAAUAUGUUAUAUAUUAUCAUUUUUUUUUUAAAAUAAAUAAAUAGUGUCAAAUUUGCGGUUUCAGGUCUUUGAUUUCGCGGAUCGUUACCGGGGAGCGUACAGUGAUUCACUCAGCUCCGUCGUGUCUCCGUUCUACACCUCCUACUCCGGAUACCAAGUAAGUGAUGAUAUGAAAAAAUUCGGCUACAAUACUUUCAAAAAUAAUUUAUUUCUAUUUUUUCAAAAAAAAAUUAGUCAUUAUUUUGUGAUUAUAAGUGAGUAAUUUAUGAUUCUGCGGAAACAGGAUGAGCUGCUGUGGGGAGCUGCAUGGCUGCACUGGGCGUCAGAUGACAUCUCUUACAUGUCGUACAUUCAGUCCAACGGCAACACUUUGGGGGCACAAGACGAUGACUACUCCUUCAGCUGGGACGAUAAGCGCAUCGGUACUAAAGUUCUUCUCGCCAAGGUAUUCUUCCUCUCUGCUCAUUCAGAAAGUUAUUUGAUGAUUGAAAACAACAACAAAAGCGAAAGCAAAUUAAACCUUUUAUUCAAUAGAAUUACCGGACAUAAAUACAUUACUCUUCACGCUUUGCUUAAUUAGCUACAAUACUAUGUGUUGAAUUUUAACUUAUCUAAUUUAUUAACAUCACUUUAGUCGAAUGUUUCAUUAAAUAUUAAGUACUCUUUGGCGCAAUAAAACGGAUAUACGUCGACUGUGGAUAUAUAUGUGAAAGCUAUUAUAUAUUUUCCAUUUGCUUGACCACGUGUAAGAAGGUUAUUUUGACUUAAGUUUAUCUGGAUGUAUAAUAUUUUUUUUUAAAAAAAUUAACAUGUUUUGGCCAUUAAUUGUUACUAAAAUUGACAGUACUGUUUGUUAAAAGGUGGGUUAUAUUAUUAAUAGAAUUAACAGCUAAAUUUAACACAAAUUUUAAUUUAACUAACUAUGAUAAUUGAAAUCAAAAUAAUAAACCGAAAAUAAAGCUGGGACCCAUUUAUUUAUUUAUUUAUUUUAAUUUACAUUUCCACCAAGAGUUCAGCAAGACCAAUUGUUUUUCUUCUCCAAAUUUUGGACAGGGUUUCCUGCAGAACAGGAUUGACUCACUGCAACUAUACAAGGCCCACUCAGACAACUACAUUUGCUCUUUGGUCCCUGGAUCAAACCGUUUCCAAUCCCAAUACACCCCAGGUCAUUAAUUUUAGAGCGAUGCUAUCUGCACGCCUGUAAGUUUUACCGGUUAUAAAUCUAACACGCAACCCAUCUACUGAACACUAAUAUCAUUUCAUGACUUAUAUAGAAUUUUAUUUUUUAUACUGAAAAUUCAAAAGAGUUUUCUAGAUCCUAAGAUGGAUAGUUGUAAACUUUACAUCGUAUUCAUGGGGUGUAUGUAGAGAGCAUUUUCUUAAUUGUAUAUAUAUAUAUAUAUAUAUUUAGUCCAGAUACUGUAGGUCGAUAAUUUACUGUUCUCUGCAACACUUACUGAGCAGCAAAUUAAUAUAAACAGGGGGGCUUCUUUACAAAGAAAGUGACAGCAACCUGCAGUAUGUGACUUCCACUACUUUUCUCCUCCUCACCUACGCCAAGUACCUGCAGGGCUCAAAUGGAGGAUCAGCCUCCUGCGGGAGUAGUACAAUCACUGCUGGAGACCUCAUUUCACUGGCUAAAAAGCAGGUAGAGAAGAUCAAGAACUCGCUGUGUCGUUUGUCCAAAAAUGUGUUCUUCAAACACAACCGCUUUAAUAUCUUAGAAUCACUAAAGAUAUUUAAAAACACUUUAAAGCUCUGCUCGUCUGGUUCUACGGAACGACGGCAAGAAUCUCCGAUGGCCCAUGAAACGUUCGCAUGCACCAUCAUAAUUUAGAAUUGGUGGAGUAGAAUUCCAAAAUACAUCUAAAUUUUUUUGGAGACUUUGCGAAAGCAAUGAGCCCAUACGAAUGGGCUCGCAUUAGUGGGGCCUGUCUGACCCAAUGUCUAGAAUAACUUCUCGGCAAAAAUAUAUUAAAUUUAUCUGAACUAUGGAUCAUUUUGAAUCAACUAUUUGAUCUUUUAAAAUUUUGAUUUUGCUAUCCAAUCUUUUAAUUUGUUAGAUUUGAACUAGUUAAUAAUACUUUGACUUUAAAAUAUAAAUUAAUUAUUUAUUUUAAUAAAUUUAUACUUAUAAAAUAUACGAACUAAAUCUGUAAAUAAACUAUGUAUUAAAAUUGUAAAGUCAAAGUACAGUUGAUUGACUAAACUCAAAUAAAUUAAAAAAUGGGAUAGAAAAUUUGAAAGAUUGGAUAGCGAAUUCAAAAAAUGAACUUUUCAACUCCGAGAAAUCAGUGUGAUGUGUUUUAUUUCGUGAAAUAAAAGCUUACAGAGGUAUCUAAACUUUGUAGAGAAACUUGUGGCAACAGUUUCUUUGA
Molecule: long non-coding RNA, 52381 nt
Filed under: Ananas comosus (pineapple)
Lineage: Eukaryota; Viridiplantae; Streptophyta; Magnoliopsida; Poales; Bromeliaceae
Description: long non-coding RNA (ACOM_LNC012200)
Source: RNAcentral